UUGGCUUUCCUCCUGAACCUUAUCACACCUUUCAUGGGCGAUACUCGAAGGAAUGAUCGCUCUCAAACUCCAAAACUCAAAGGAUGAAGACUACAAGCUACAUAAACCUUCUAUCUACUUAAGUUGGCAUUAGCCUAUCCUGAAUCACCCUGACUCUAUCCAACGACUCCAAAAGUAAGUCAACAUUAUGGGGCCUAACCUACGAGGUCUUGAACCAUCCUAUAAGAUAUCGAUAAUGUAUACCAAAUUCUGCCUCAAAUGGUGCCUUAUCAAUACUUGAAUGGUUGCUACUAUUUUAUACGUGCUCGACCAAGGCUAAGUUCUUCUCCCAUUAUCCUCCAAAAUCUAUAACAUAAUCUUGGAGCAUAUGCUUGAGGACCUGAAUAGUCUGCUUCAAUUACCUAUCUAUCUGAGGAUAAAAUAUUGUGCCAAGAUCUAACUUAGUACCCAAGUCCUCCAAGAAAGCUCUGCAGAAGUUAGAAGUGGAUAUCGCGCCCUAGACUGAAAUAAUAGAUAUAGGUACUCCAUGCAAGCUAACUAUUUCAUAAACAUAGAUACGAGCUAACCUCUUGGCACUGAAGGACAUCUGAAUAAAAAGGAAAUGGGCCAAUUUGGUCAACAAAUCUAGAAUGAACUAAAUGUUAUUUGAACCGCGGGAGGUGCGAGAAUGGGAAAUACCUGAAUCAUGACAUUAGGUGUAUGCUUGACCUUUACUUGCUGAAAAUAUAGCAACAAACUACAAAGUCGGUCACAUCUCUCUUCAUAAAACUCCAUCGAUAAUGCUAUCUCAAAUCCCUAUGUAUCUUAGCUGUCCAAGGGUGAAUGGAGUAUUUGGAGAUGUGAGCCUCACACAAUAUUGAUCGAAUGAAUUCACCAACCCUAAAAUCAUAAAUAUGACCAUCAUAUCUUCGAAUACCCUCAGAAUCCAUGUUAUCCCUCCUAAAUUGACCACUCAGCACGUGAUCACGGAUGAGACAAAGGACCCUAUCCUCAAACUGACAACUCCAAAUCUUCUCAAAUAAGGUAGACCAUGCCUCAACACUUAAAAGUAUCCUCUUGGAGUAUAAAAUAUCAAGUCUCACCAUCAAGUUAGUUAACGACAAAAAGUCAAAUCCAACUACCCAUAUUCAUUGCGUUCAGGCUCAAGGCAUAUAUAACCACAUUUGUCUUGACUAGAUGGUAUAAAAUAGAGAUGUUAUAAUCCUUCAUCAACUCCAUCAAUAUCUGCUGCCUAGAACUAAGUUCCGUCUAAGUCAUAAGGUGUUGAAGACUAUGAUGACCGAUGUAUAUCUCAAAAUUCAUGCCAGAUACAUAAUAAUGCCUCCAAAUGUUAAGCGCAAAAACUACCAUCACCAAAUCCAAGUCAUGAGUGGGGCACUCGUGCACCUUCAUCUUUCUCUAUGCAUAAACAAUAACUCAAUCUUGUUGCAUCAAAACACAACCCAAACCAAUACCAAAAUCAUCAUAAUACUCAAUGAAUCCCUCUGCUGCAGUAUAAAGAGACACUAUAGGAGUUGAAGUGAGAAAUCCCUUGAGCUUCCAAAAUUUUGACUCACACUCCUAAUACCACUUGAAAGGAACCUCCUUCUCGGUUUAUCUAGUUAUCGAUGCUGUAAUAGUAGCAAAAAUCUCAAUGAAACACCUAUAGUAACCAGUCAAACCAGUAAAGUUACGAAUCUUAGAUGAGAUGUAGACCUGGAUGAAUCAUGAAUAGCCUUAAUCUUUGAUGGGUCUACAAUAAUCCCAUCCUUAGACUCCCCAUGCCCUACGAAUAUCACCGACUCAAGCCAAAACUCACACUUUGAGAUUUUGAAAAAAAGCCUAUGAUCUGUCAAAGUCUGGAGCUCAAUCCUUAAAUGAUACAUAUGUUUCUCCAUACUCCUUGAAUACCAAAGGAUGUCAUCAAUGAACACAAUCACAAAAGAGUAUAAAUAAGGUCUCAAUACAUAGUGCAUUAGAUACAUGAAUACAGUUGUCCCAUUAGUCAACCUAAAAGAUAUCACCAAGAACUCAUAAUGGCUAUAUCAAUUUCGGAAGGGUAUCUUUGGGAUGUCCUCAACUUGAAUCCUCAACUGAUGGUAAUUGGAUCUCAAGUAAAUCUUAGAGAAUAAUGUUGAUCCCUAAAUCUAGUAAAAAAGUAUCAAUACGAGGCAUAGGAUAUCUAUUCUUCACGGUCACCGUAUUAAGCUGCCUAUAAUCAAUGAACAUAGGAAAGGAACCAUUCUUUUUCUUCAUAAAAUAGGUAGGAACACCCCAACGUGACUCACUCUGUCUAUGAAACCCUUACCCAGAAGAUCCUGAAGUUGGGAAUUUGUAUUCUUAAGCUCAGAAAGAGCUAUAUGGUAAGAUUUCAUAGAAAUAGGUCAAGUUCUUGACUCAAGAUCAAUAAUAAACUCAAUAUCAUGCUAAAAAAAGACUAGGUAGAUUGGUUGGAAAAACAUCAGGAAAAUAAUGGACUAUAGGAAAAAAGUCAUAUGAGGGACUUUCUAUACUAACACCAUAAAUAUGAGUGAGAUGAGACUUGCAACACUUUGAUAUAAGUCUCUUACCCCAAAACCUAAGAAAUAAUUACCAUCGUCUAGCGGCUAAAAGAUCUCUUCUACAUAACUAGAGGUAUGCUAGGGAUAGCUAAGGUAAUGGUCUUUAAAAAAUGAUACAAGAUUGCAUGAUAGGGGGAUAACCAGUCCAUGCCCCAAAUCAUGUCAAAUUCUACCAUAUCUAAAAGAAUAAGAUCAUCUAGAGUAUCAAACUCUCGAAUAGUCACAACACAUGAUCCAUAAAUCCAAUCUACUACUAAAGAAUCACCCACAGAGUAGAUACUCAUAACGAUAUUGAUAAAGAUUCUCAAUACAACUCUAACUAUAGUUCAUAAUAAAUAGACACAUAAGAACAAGUGGAUCCCAAAUCAAAUAAAGCAAAAGUCAGUUGAUGGCAUACUAAGAUCAUACUUGUAAUAACAAUACUUGAAGAAUCUAUCUUAAGUCUACUAGGUACAAUAUAUAAAUGACCUCACCUAUAACCUACAUAGGUGUAUACCUGAUCUCUUAUCCUACCUACUUAAGGACCUCGAUGAGAACCCAAGGGACCACCCAGACUACCUUAUAUACCUCCUAUACUUAGAGGCAACACUACUUUAAACACUCAAAGCUAUAGGCAUAACUACCCUAUGUAUGGGAUACUCUUUAGAGAAAUGACUAAAGGUCUGACAAUCAUAACAUUCCCAGAAGAUAAACUUUAUCCAAAAGAUCCAACUGACCCAAAAUAGCCACCUCAACUAGAAAACCCAGAAGAUGAUCCUAUUAAAAGCUGACUACUACUCUAGCUAGGAUGAUCACUGUAACUAGUAAGACCUCUAUUAGUAGUUUCAAGUGAGGCAUGACCAGGACUACUAGGCUAACCCUAAAACUAAUAAGACUGGUAUGGUGGUUACUUAUCUUGAGAACUGAUGCUUUUAAACCAAGAGCCACUCUAGCUCCUGCUGAAACUACCCUUUUAACACAGUCUCUUAUCACUGCCCCCUUAGGACUCGUGAUAUAUAUGCUCCAUAGUUUAAGGAUGAUUAGAAACCUCAAUGAAUGAUCUACAAGAAACAACUAAACUCUAUGUAUCCUUGUAAAGAGAAAGUCUCACUCCCUGAACAAAAUAUUAAAUCUUCUCACCUUGAUCAAUAAAAUAGAUAUAGCAUGCCUAGCUAACUUAUCAAAUACAAUGUCAUACUCUAAGAAAUUCAUAGAACCAUGGUCCAAUAUUAAUAAUUUAUCUAUUAGACACUCCCUAAGGCUGCAAGGCAUAUAUUUCUCUAACAAAACCUCAGUAAAUUGAGCCCAUGUCAAUGGGGGAGAUCUACUUGUCUGGAAUUACGAUAACCCCUUCAUAAAUAUCAAGCUGUUAAAUUCAAUUGAAAAGUAUUGUAGGAUAUACCACAAUUCUUAACUAUACCUAUAUUAUAGAGCCUAUCCUUAUAAGAAACCAAUAACUUAUAUCCAUCCUUGCCCGGUGCACCAAAAAACCUAGGUGGAGUUAACCUCAAGAGUCUAUCCAAUAUUUUUUAUUCCUCAACAGACAUGGCAUGCUAGGAAACCACUAGCUAUGAAACUACCGACAUAUAUAGGAGCCACAUCUAUGGGUAAUGUCUCUACCUUGAUAUGAAUUUUAUCUGUAGAUUAGGCAACAUCAGAAGAUGCACUACCAACCAAUCCCAAGAGAUAAAUUAGUGAAAUAAACCCCACUGAAGGUUGGGCUAUCCUUUAGUCCACCACUAGAUUUGUGGAUGAAUCUCUAUGAGAUUGGGGAUAGGGUUUGGUAAAGGUUUCCUAUCCUAAUAUCUAGUUGGGGCUACAUUUUUAACUGAUCCCAACUUUUAGGUUAUCCAUAUACUUCGAUAUGAUAUCUAGUCGUGGACUUGUAAUUCGUAUCUCUAAUAGCAAUAUAGCAUGUCCUAUUCAUCUACAAAAGAAUAAAAAUAAACAAAUCUUAGAAACCAACUAGACUCUUAGCACAAAAUGAGUGAAAGAAGUGAAUAUCUUCUACAAAUGUCCUAUAGCAUCAUUUUGAUUUGUGGGAAUCUACUAGUAACUUGCUCUUGUGCCUAUAAUACUGGUGAACAUGGGCUCUAGUACUGAUUUGUAAUGACCUAAUUUCUUGAGUCAUGGUGGCACAAACUUUAUCCCACCUAUAGGUAAGCCAAAUCAUAGCCCAAAAUAAUGAGUAAUAGGUUAAUUAGUGGAAAAAGGCAUAAAUUCUAGAAAUAUACAAAUAAAUUAAUUACAAGAAAUAAAUACUAAGAACAACAACAUAAAGGAAGUGAAACAAAAGAGGAGUAAUAUCAGCCUAUGACCUAAUAAUGUUGGUACAAAAAUCUCUAAUCCAAAAGAAUAUGAGUACUAUCAAAGUCAAUAUAUUAAUUGUCUAAAAAAUAAAGACUCUCCAUAAAUAGAAGAUGGUAAAAUGUUUAACUCCAACUCUAAGAGAUUACCCCAUCUUCAAACUCUGACUAGCACAAUUGCAGAGUCAAUGGCGAUAGCUAGUACUCAGAUCUACACCAAAAAGGUAUAGAAAGGUAGUAUGAGCAUCAAAGUCAUGGGCUCUCAUUAGGUAUCAUUGAUCUAAGCUAAAAAAUAAUAUAAAUAUAAUAAAAUGUGAGAUAAGUAAGCUAAGUCAAAGAAAAAGGGGAAAACCUGGAAUAAAGCUCCAAGUAAUAAAAGUAAAGAACCAAAAUAAUAAUAAUAAUAAUAAUAAUAAUGAGAACACAACUAAUUCUAACAUAACUAGGACACUAUAUGUCCAGAAAAUGCAGAUAAAGUAACCUACCCAAUACGGGACCUCAUAAGAACGGUGGAUGAAAUCAAGAAGUAAUAACCAUAAUUACACUGACUGUUCAUAUCUCAAAACUAUAACUAUGGCAUUUAUAAACUGUAAACACUGGACUCUAAUCAGCCUCAUAACCAUCAUAAAUAACCUCUCAAUGCCAGACUUGAACUAGAAGAAGUAUUUCAUAUAUUGUACUUGAACCAAAAAUAAUAUCAUAAAUACCAUACUUAAAUCAGAAGUAUACUGUCAAUAAUGCCAGAACUAAACCAGUUAAUAUUAUAAAUUGUCAGACUUGAACAGAUAUUAACAUCUCCCAAGCACCAAUCUAGAAUCAAGCACCAUAUAUAUAAAACAUUUUGUGGUCUUAAAAAAUAUAAUUAGAAUACGGUAUAAAGUACUAUAGAUAUAGAAGGACUCCCACUUCUAUAAUACCCCGUAAGAUCUUGAGCUCGAUUUAUAUCUUAGUUGCAUGUUUAAGGGGUCCAAGUCUUGAAAUUUUCCUAAGUGUUGAGGACUUAGUCAUUUUCAAGAUCCAUAAAAUUUUUUGAUGUUUAGAUUGGCAUUCCCAACCCCAAAACAUUUGUUUUUAAGUUGAUUCAUGGUAAAGAAGGUUAAAAGUAUAUUUCGGGUGAGUUUUGAGAUUUUUGGAUGAGUUUCGGUACGUGUUUGGACAGCCAAAAUAGUAAAGCAAUGUGAUUAGUCCAUGACGUGUUUCUCUCUCCUAUGGAGAGGAGAUCUACAAUGCAUUGGUCUCUCCCCUAGAGUAAGCUACGCGGUUUGUUGCUCUCUCCCAUGGAGAGAGAGAUAUGAUGCAUGGAUCUAUCCCAUAUAGUGUGAUUGUUUAAGUGCCCAAGAGGUAUUCGGGUUAUUUUCCCUUAUCCUAUUUGAUCUAUAACAUGAAUUGGGUCUUUCAAAAGGGAUAUUUCCCAAGAAAUCCCUCCUUUCUCCUCAUGAACAAAUUCAAGGUUCAUUCUCAAGAAAUCAAGAGUACAAGCUUUCAAUCCAAGAAAUCUUCAAGAAUUUAGUUGUUAAAGUAUGUGGGAUGUUCAUCCAUGGGUCCUUUCACCCAUGGAGCCCAAAAACCUUAUUUUCAACUAAAGUAUGGGUUUUUCUCUUAUUACAAAGUUUUUUAAUUUCAAGAUGGACUAAAUUUAUGUGUUUACUCAGAAGUUUGACUCAAUUCAUGUUCAUGAAUGAUUUCAUACAAAAUUAGGUUAACCCAUGCUUUAAGUUUCAAUCUCCCAUGUUAUAUUCAAGUGAAUCUUAUGUUACAUUAUCAAGUUAUGUUCUUAGUCACAUAACCAUGCUAUUUUCCCAUGUUUUAAGACAUUCACUUGUUCAAGUUCAUGUCUUUCACAUGCUUGGUAAAAUUUCACUAUUUUGGGUCUGUGAACCAUGAUCCCAUACUAUAGUUUUUCAGCUUUGUUAUCGUAUUUUAUGGUCAUUCAGUGUUGGUGGGUUCUGAACACCUGAUCCCUAUGUGUUUACUUUUGCUUUAGAUAUUUCAAGCAAUAAUUUAGUUAAACCAUGAAUCUUAUUAAAUACUCUAAUAUUUAUGAUCAUAAUGAGAACUAUCAGUUAUUUAAAAAUAUUUAGUUAAGCUUAGUUCAGUAUCCAUAUUAGUUCAGUUGGGAGUAGGAUUUAGCACCGAGCGAACCUAGGGAUGGGGGCUCACCUGCCAGUAGAGGGUGUGGCCUUUAGUAUCCAUACCUAAGUUCCAAUGCUACUUAGCCAACAUAGGUUUGAGAUAUCUUUCUUCCAGUUAAGGGUCUACAUAUAUCUCAAGAGAGCACCUACCAAUAUAGGGUGACUCUUUAGUCUUUUGGGACACCAGUUUAGUAAAUUCACAUAUCUAGUGUUAAUACUUGUGGCACAGUACUUACACCCUUCCAACUGGGGUUACUGGUUGGACCCCAAUUAUCUCAUAUCAAGGCAUGUCGAUUAUAUGACCAAGUGUACAAAUUUUCUAGUCACAGUAUCUCAGAAAAUUAUUUCAGUUGAUCUUGUGGAGUUAGAGAUGACUAAUUUUGAUUUCAUUCUUGGCAUGGAUUGGCUUUACACAUUCUAUGUCUUUAGGAUGAAAUAUUUAUCUAAGAGGCCCUUCAAUUGCUUCUUAAGAUUUUUUAGCUCUGUCGGAGCCAUUUGAUAAAAAGGGCUGGAAAUGGUACGAGUGUCCAAAACAAGAUCAAUCCAAAAAUUAAUUUCCCUAUUAGAAGGAACACCAAGAAGAUCGUCGAGAAAUACCUUAGGAAACUCAUUAACCAAUGGAACAUAUGGCAUAAUGGUGUCAUAAUGUGUAUUUUCAUUCUUGUAUUAAUGAUUAUAUUGUGUUUUGAUAUCUUGGCUUGUGAAAAAGUCUUCAAGAAAAGGAAAGGCGAAGCUUGUCAAUUCAUGAGCAAUUUGGACUCAAGGUAGGUUAGGCUUACUUGUAGUUAGAUUGAGCUUAAAUGUAGUAUAAUUAUGAUAUCUUGUACGACUGGGUGGGGUCUUAGAUGAAAAAUGGGUGAAUGAUGAUACUUGGGAUUAGAUGAUCCUAGUAGGCUAUUAAACUUGUAAAAUGAUGCUUUACUAUAGCCUGGAACCCUGAAUAGUUCUACUUGUAUUCUUAUGAUUAGUAUGAGAAUACUUUAGUUUCUCUAGUAGAGGAGAAUGAUGUUGUUACUAACAUUAAUAGUAUGUUGACAAAGAUAUGACUAGUUGUGAAUUAACCUUAGUGUUUGGGUCACUUAGAUAGGAUACUUGAUGAAGAUUUUCCCUUAUAGGACUAGCAAGGAUUAAUAAGACCUUAUGGUGUGAUUAGAUAACCUAGCUUAACUAUGGGUAGAAGUUCAUCUUGUAGAAGUGAACUUUGGCAUUAUUGGGAUUUAGGAGUGGGACUUGACCCAUGUUAAGCUUGAACUAUGUAAUUCCUUAGUGACCUAAACACUUGAGGAAUGUCUAAGUUACGGCAUUUAAGUUAUAAUGGUUAACUCGGUUGUUGGAUAUGCAUAUGGUUAAUGUUUGAAUAAUGUUCAUACUUUAUUGAUUAUCUUGUUGUCAUGAUAUGAAUAACUUUGGAAAGUCCUGUAAAUGGAACCAAUGGUUAUGCGAUCGCUUGGCUUAUUGAUGAGUUCACCAAGUGAACCUCUAAUUGUGUUAUCACUCUUGCUAUGAUCCAAGCCUAAUGAUUAAGCUAAAGUUUAUGUGAAGGAUUUUCCUUUAGUGUUAGUAUUGUGGAUAGUUAGAGUAAAAGAGGCAUUUAGAGAGAAUUCACUUGACUUAAAAUUGACUUUCUUAUAAACAUAUUAAUUUAGAAAAGUGGUGAUUGCGUAUAUCAUUUAGAUAUGCAUGCUCAUGCUUCUACUUAUAUUAUGUAAGAAUGAUUAAUAGUAAGGUAUGAUGCUAUGUGUUACCUUACAUCACUUAUACUCUAUCAUUGUGGGUUGUACAUGCUUAUUGAUUUAACUACAUAUGAAUGUGUAUAUUGUUGUCUUGAAUGAUGUGUUAAUAUGAUGAUGAUGCUCGAUGAAUCCGGAGGAUAUAUUGAUAUGAUAAUGAUGCCCAGUGAAUCUUGAGGAUAUAUUGAUGUUAUGAUGAAGUUCGGUGAAUUCGAAGGAUAUAUAGAUGUUAUGAUAAUGCCCGGUGAAUCUGAAGGAUAUAUUUUAAAUUUAAGAGGGGGUGAAUUGAAAUUUUCUUCUAUGAGACGACUACUGACUCCUCAUAGAAAGCUCGCCUAUAGAUCAAAACACUUCACACAUAAAUUAAUCUUAGAACAAUUAAGUAAGUAAAAACAAAACAUAAAGUAACAACACAAUGAUUUAUCCUGGUUCGGCACACCAAUGUAGUGCCUACAUCCAGUCCCCUUGGGUUUUGAAGUUUCCUUAUAUCAUUAAAAUUUUUUGUCGAAUACAAUGAUAGGAAACAAGUUCUAAGGACUUAAUUUGCUCUUCAGAUCUUGUGAUACAACUUCAAUUGAUGUUACAAAGUUGACUCUAUCCUACUCUUUAUUUAACAAUUGUAAAAUAAAGUUACAGAGCUUUGUAAGACUAAGAAUGAGACACUUUGAAUUUCUCAUUGAAGUGGCAUAAAAAGUGUGUGUCUUAGGUCUUCAUCAUUUAUAGUCUUUGGCUGCUACUUUUCAUAAGGAAACCAAAUAGAUUUCUUCUCAAUCAAGGAUGUAAAUUAAUUCCUUGAUUGAGUAAUAUAGUUGUAUGAUAUGUCCAUAUCAGAUAUGUAUAUAUGUGGCUUUGCAUCACGUCCAUAUUAGAUAUGUUCAUGAUCUAUUUUUUCUUUUUGGUUUUAUAGAGAUUGAUUUCUUUCCAAAUGUGCUUGUAAUCUUUUCUUUAGCCUUGAUUUUGGGAUUGUGAUGCUUCUUCUAUUUCUAUGAUAUUUUAUUGAUUUACUUGCCAUAUUCUUGAAUUGUUUUUUGGUUCCAUUUUCCAUGUUUUGAUCUUCAUAUCUUCAAAUAUUUUGAGAUGAUUUAAAGUUGAGAUUCUUUUUCCAUUUGUUCUUGUUGUGAUUUAUUUUCAUUGGAUACGUGGAUGUCCAUCUAUUCUUGAUGUCCUUCUAUUUUUGGAGUCGGCUUCCUUUAUCUUUCCAUUAUUUACAGUUGCAAAGAUACACUUGUUAGCUUGUCAUUAUUAAAACAUAAACUUAGAAAACUAACAAUCUCCCCUUUCUUGAUAAUGACAAUAAGAGUAAACAUCAGUUAACUUCCCUGUUUGUCUGCUUGCUCCCCUGACGUGUGUAAGUGUUAACUGACUUGUAAGCUUUCUCUUCUCCCUCUUACUGGUAGGAUUCUAGGCUACUCUGAUGUUCCAGACUUUCUCCCCCUUUAACAUAAUUAGAAAGAAAUAAUAUGCAGGCAAUAUCCAGACAGGGAGAUGUACGAAAAAUGAAGAAGAAAAUUUUUUUUUAAAAUAUCAUGAAUGCUAGGAAUAUCAAGCCUUUUUCAGAGAGAGCAAAAUCUUUAUUCUAGUAGAGGUUUUGUAAAAAUAUCUGCUAGUUGAUUUUUAGAGUCAAAAAAUUUUAGGAAAAAGUUAUUGUUUUCAACAUGGUCUUGAAUGAAAUGAUGCUUGAUAUCAAUAUGUUUAUCCCUAGAGUGAUGCAUAGUAUACUUAGAUAGGUUGAUGGAACUGGUGUUAUCACACAUAAUAGGAAUAGAUUUAAAAGAUAAAUCAAAGUCAAGAAGCUGAUACAUAAUUCAUCGGACUUGAGUUCCAUAGCUUUUGACAACUAUGUAUUCAUCUUCUGUGGUCGAGAGAGCAACGAAUGUUUGUUUCUUGAUAUGCCAUGAAAUAAGAGAAUCACCAAUAAUUUAACAUAUUCCACUAGUUCUCUUCCUGUCACUCUUGCCUCCUCCAAAAUCAGCAUCUAAAUAUCCAAAAAGUGUGAGGAGCAGGGAUACCAUAAACCAUGGUCUGGAGUUCCUAUUAGAUAUCAGAUGACUUGUUUGACAGGAGUGAGAUGAGAUUUAUCAGGAGUCGACAAGAAUCUGGCACAUUUACACACACAAAAUAAGAUAUUCAGUUGACUUGCAGUUAAGUAGACUAGAGAUCCAAUCAUCACUCAGUACAUCUUUUCAUCAACGUCUUUUCUAGCCAAGUCUGAAUCAAUUCUUUUGGAUGGGAUCAUGGGUGUUCCAUAGGUCUUUCCCUUUUCCAUGCCAAACUUUUUGAUGUGUUCUUUUAUGUAUUUGGCUUGACUGAUGUUCCCUUGGGAGUUUGCUUGAUUUGUUGUCCCAGAAAGAAUGUAAGCUUACCCAUAAGACUCAUUUCAAAUUCAUUUUUUAUCAAAUUAGUAAAAUUCUCACACAUGGAGAUGUCAGAACUACCAAAUAUGAUAUCAUUAACAUAAAUUUGCACAAUGAGGAGAUUUGAAUCAAGAUUUUGAACGAAUAGAGUUGUAUUAAUUUUAUCCCUUUGAAAAUUAUAUUUUAAUAUAAAAGUACUCAGUCUCGCGUACCAAGCUUUUGGAGCUUGUCUGAGGCCGUAGAGUGCUUUUGAUAACUUGAAAAAAUGAUUUGGAAAUGAAGGAUAUUCAAAUCCAGGGGGUUGGUUUACAAAACUUCCUCAUGAAUAAACCCAUUCAAGAAAGCACUUUUUACGUCCAUUCGAUAUAACUUAAAACAUUUGAAUGUGGAAAAAGAAAGAUUCAUAUUGACUAUAACCUUCCUACGGGGGGAAAGAUCUCUUCAUAAUCAAUACAUUCCAGUGCCUUGAGCUACGAGCCUGGAUUUAUUUUUGAUAACUUUUAUUUCUUCGUUUACCUUAUUUUUGUAGACCCAUCUGGUUCCAAUUACAGAGCAUUUUCUUGGUCUUUUAACUAGAUUCCAAACCUGAUUUCAUUCAAAUUAUUCUAGUUCUUGCUUCAUAGCUUCAAACCAUGAAUCAACAUUGAGAGCUUCAUCAAUUUUCUUUGGCUUAAUUUGGGACAAAAGGGCAACAUAUGCUUGUCUCUUUAGUGAUACUUUGGUUUACACUCUAUCUUUUGGAUUUCUGAUGAUGAGUUCAUUUGUAUGGCUGGUAUCAUGCUUCCAUUCUUUUGGAAUAUUUGGCCUUACUAUUUCUGUUGUGAGAAUCGACUCUGUCAAGGGUGUGGUUGACUUGUCUUAGGAAGGUUCUGGAGUUGUGAUAUGAUUUUCUUUAGUUUGUAUAUUACUCACCUGUUCUUCAUCAACACUUAUACUCCUAGUGAGAUGGUUAGAUACAUCAAAAACAAUGUUCAUAGAUUCCUCAACACACAUAGUUUUUUUAUUAAAAUCCUUGUAAGCAUGACUAGUGGGAGAGUACCCAAGGAAAAUACCUUCGUCACUUCGUGGAUCAAAUUUCCUUAGGAUAUUCUUACCAUUAUUGUGAAUAAAUCAUUUGCAACCAAAGGGAUGAAAGUAGUCAAUGUUGGGAUUCUUUCCACUCUAGAGUUUAUAAGGUGUUUUCUUCAAAAUAGCUCUGAUUAUACACUUAUUGAUGAUAUGACAUAUUGUACUAACUACUUCUGCCCAAAAGUGAUCUGGGAAAUUAUGUUCUAACAGCAUUGUCCUGAUAGUUUCUUGUAGGGACCGACUCUUCCAUUCCACUACACCAUUUUGUUGUAGAGAUCAAGGUGAGAGUAUUUAUUCUGAGUACAAUACUCUUAACAUGCCUUAUUUUCAAAUUCUCCUCCAUGAUCACUGUGAACGUAGGUGAUAAGGUGCCCAUCUUCUCUCUGUAUUUUUCUAUAAAAAAUCUCAAAAGUUAUGAAGGCUUUGUGUUUAUGUGCAAGAAACAUAACUGAUACAAGAAUAUACUACUAAAAUGAAAUUAAGGCCUAAAGAAACAAAAAUCAGAAACUACAAGAAAUGGAAAACAACAUAUAGAAGAAAGGAGAUGAAGUAGAAAUGCAUAAAAUGAAAAAGAUAGGUAAUGAGACCCUUACUAUCACCAAUGAUUGGCACAAGAAUUUGUCUCAAACAUUCAAACACACCUCACCAAUGGUAUUCCAAACCUCGCUCUUAGGUGGAACAAAGGAAUUAACACUCCUCAAUCAUACCUUUCUUGCCAAUUGAUCAACACAAGUCAAAUCCAUCAACUGUAUUAAUCCCUAGUUUCGGUGUCUUUUCCAAGACCUACACUAAUAUGGAUUUUCCAAGCCCUCCACUAAGAAAAGAAAAUACAAUUUGAGUUUUACUCAAUCCAUUCAUCCAAUUCUAAUGAAAAUAAGAGCUUAAAUGUUUAUUUAUACUAUUACAUAGUAAAUGUCACAAAUACACUUAAUGAAUAAGGGAAAUGGGUUGCCUCUUGAGUGUCACUUUAGGGUGUAAAAUGUAUUUUAUACCCUUCACUUAAGGCGCCUCUUGAGUGUAAAGGUUAUCCUCCUAGAUUCUCUUGAUCAAGUCUUUGAAAAUGCUCCUAAAAGUCCUUCAAUCACUUGUCAAUUCUGAAGCAUGAACCUUUGACAAUAUCUUGUGCUCUUGGUGCUUCGCAUGCUUGUAUCAUCCUCUCAAUAUUGAAAGAAACUUAUCCCCAAAUUCACACCCUGUAAAACCAAAGAGAUGGAAAAACAAGCACACAAUACUCACGGUAUGAGGAUUAGCAGUAGCACCACAAAUUAUAUAAUCAUGCCAAGGGGGUAUAUUUUUGGAAUACACCCAACUAUAUUUUUUUAUGAUCGUGAAACACCUACCACAAGUACCACAAUGGACACGGUUAAGGGAUACAUCAAGGAAUGAGGAACACAAGCUGAAACAAACAUAUAUGGUAUAUGUUUUCAAGGGAAUACAAAUAUUCAAAAUUGGGGACCUCCGGCUUUGUAAAACUCCCUUAGCAACACAAAGUCCAUCACUCCAAGGUUGUUCACACUUGACAUACACCCGCAUAUCCUUGGUAUUCGACAUGAAAAACUUAGCAUAAAGGAUACCAAAGAAGAGAAUAGCAUCAAUAUUAAAAUCUAAUGAGCAUGAACCAAAACUACACUUCCAACAUCUCAAAAGUACCCCGGGGUCAAAGGGAAGAAGUAACUAAGGGAUUAAGCCUCGGCCACUCUCAUUUUCCCCUAAGGUUCCAUCUACAAAGUUAAUAAUACCCUUUCUAUCACUAUUGGGAAUUUCAUGAUAGCAAAGAGGGUUGAUAGAGGUGUCACACAAGUCAACUUCAUAUUUGGUGUCCUUAUGCAUGUACUCACUAGUUUCAAGCUCAUCACCAUUGGUAUGCUCAUCAUAGGAAACACACAAAGAAUAAGUAGAUGGAACACCUAAACAAAUACCACCUUCUCUUUUAAGAGAGUAUCCCCCACACAUAUUUAAACCAUAAUGGGCAAAAAAGGGAUCACAAUCAAAACCAUUUUCACAAGUACAAUCAUAAUUUGGGUCUCCUAAAUAUUUUAGCAAAUCAAGGUCAACUCUACCCGAUUGAUCAUUUUGCACACCCUCACUAGUUGUUGGCAACUCACAUACUAACGUAGACUCACCUUAGUUUUCACAAGGGUCAAUUAGUGUGUGAAUAUUCUUGUCACUUGGUAAUGAAACCUUAUUCAAGUUAUAAGUGCUAGCAUUAGAUGGACACAAGUCAUUCUUAUGGAACGAAUUGAUUUUGUCAUCUAAAGAAUCAACUAGUGCUUGUGUACUUACAAUAAGAGUUUGGUCCUUAUGCAACCUAAAAACACCAAAAUUAUCACAAAAUUAAAAUUCACACACUUCUAUACUAAGAAAAUCCGAAACCAUACCAAUUUGGCCACUACUAGCCACAUCACAACAAUUCAAGUUUCUAAGGAUGUAGAAGAUAGAUUUGUUACCUUGUAGAUCAUGGGAAGUGUAUUAUUCACUUGGUUUUGUAUCAUGGAUGCCCUAAUACUCCACAUCAAAAUGUAAUAUGUCAAUAUUUCCCUUUGUAUUCAUUUCUUCAUCACUUGUCCCAACGUUGGAACUUUCAGCCAAGGAUUCCAUUAACCCAUCAACCGAAUAUGUAUGGAACUCCCUUUGGAUUCUUCUUUGAUGAUGUAUGAUAUUGAACCGCACAUAAUAAUAAUCAAAUCUAGUAAAAGUGAUAGCAUUUGGGUUAGUGAAUAACAAUGGUCCUUUGUGGACAAGAUCUAGAAUCAAGUGUUUUUUUUCCCUUCCAAUUUCAAUACUCGUGGCUUCCCUUUUCUUUUCCCUUAUUUCUUCACAUCCUUCUAGUAAAUCACCAUUAUUUUCUCACCAUAUUGAGGCUUAUCCUCAUUUACCUUGGGUUCUAACUCUCCCACUUCUCCUACUUGGAUGUAUUGAGUUCAGUUAAGGGGAGUUUGGAGAGGGGGAACCAGUUUUAGUUGAGGAAGGAUUUGAAUUGGUGGCCUUGGAUUUGGUGGCGUGUAGGAUAUUUGUUUUUGAGGUGUUUGAACUUAUGGAUGGUUUGUGGACAAUUCUAUCAACCUCCACUUUAAUUCUAUCCUAUAAUACCUCAUACUUUUUCCUAGAUUGAAAUUGUCCCAAGAAUGUUAGAAGCUUUCAUUGACAGAUGAAUCCACUUUUGUAUAUGUGGAAUUUUUAAGAUUUUCACUUUUUGUUGAGUUGGAAAUUGAAUUAUCUUUUCAACAAUACCAAUUUUGCCCAAAUCUGGUAUCGGAGUAAAAAGUUAUGGAUGUUUUAAUGAGAGUUGUCAGAACCAUCCAGGGGCGACGGUCAGAACCACGGACCGUCGAUCUAGCGACGGACCAUUUCCUAGACUAUUGUAGCUAAGGCAGUAAGUCAGUCUUUUAGAUAAGGAGCAAUGGAUAGGUUCACAGACCAUCGAACUUCUGAUGGACCAUCACUCGAGGCCAUCACUACUAAGGCAAUAGUCCCUAUUCUGGUCCACGUGCAACGGUCAGAAUGACGGACCGUCGACCCAGCGAUGGACCGUUGCAACAGCAUCACACAUCUCAUUCAGUUAUUUUAAGUCAUUUUUAAAGGGACUUUUUGGCCUUUUACCACCCUUUUAUAUACCUAGUAAUAUCUGACCAAGGAUCCUAGAUUCAUUAUUCUUCCACAACAUAAAAAUUAGGGUUUUCUCUCUAAGAUUUACCCUAAUAACAAAAUCCAAAUCCUCUUCAAUAAACUAAGAGAUUCAAAUUCUUCAAGUUCAAGAACUUUAAGAAACUCACUUCCAGGUAUGCAUAAUAUUCAUUCAUGGACUCCUUUCAUCCAUGAAGCCCAAGUAUCUCUUUUCAAAAUUCAAGUGUAUGGAUUUUUAUGAAUUUCAUGUUGGGUUUGCUUUUGUUCAUGUUGAUAAUGACCAAUUGAAUUAUAUUCCAUGUUUUAGUGAUAAUAUCUUAAAGGGAAUUUAUUAUUAUAGGUGUAGCUUUAUGUGUAUCCAUGAUUAAAUCCUUGAAUGGUGAAAUUAGAGAUGAAUCAUGAUGUUUAUUUGUUGUAUAAUGUUUUCUAUCUAUACUAUGCCUACCAUGUGUUUGAUUAAAUGCCUAUGUGAAUAAAAAGUGCCCAACUAGCUCUGUACCUAGAGCCAGCUUCAUGUAUAAUGUAGUCUAUCUAUACUAUGCCUACCAUGUCAGUCAUGUAUUCAAGAAAUUCAUGCUUUGUCAGUUUCUUUUCAUUGAGUCCUAUGGGUACUUGUACCAGAUAAUUUAGCUCUAUGCCUAGAGGCAGCGUCAUGUUUUCAUGAUAUCCUCAUUCAAGCCAUGUUUAGUAGAGUUCAGUUAGUCAUGUGACUCAGGAAAACUCAGUAAAACACAGAAAUCCCAGUAAAGCUCAGUAAUACAGGAAUCUCAAUACUAUUCUGUCAGUCAACGGAACUCAGUUAAUUCAGUCUAGUUUAGUAAUCCAUGUUCAGUGUCUAUUCAGACGGGAGUAGAAAUUAGAACCGAGUAAACCCAAGGAUGGGAACUCACCUGCCAGUAGAGAGUAAGAUUCUUAGAAGCAAUCCUUGCAUUCCAGAACUACGUAGCCAGCGUAAGUUGAGACAUCAUACCUUUUAGUCGAGAGUAGAUGAGGUGGUUUAACCUACUAGUUGAGGGUUCCCACCAUUCUUAUUAGAAUAACCGGCUAGUUGAGGGUCACUCACAUGUUGUCCUUACUAGUGGCGUGGUAUUGGCAUCCUUCUAAUUAGGGCUUAGAUUGGACCCCAAUUCAACUAUAAUGCAUUAUUUAGGGCAUGUCGAUUGGAUGAAUACUUCGUACAGUUUCAGAAUUAGUAUCAGUCAAGAACUCAGAUAGAUCUUCAGAUUUUAGAACUAUCAGAUACAGUCAACUUAGCUUAGUACGGAACUCAGAUAGUUCCAUUAGAAUCAGUACUGUCAGAUAUAGUCACUCAUGUUAUCAGUAUUCAAAUUUAGUAAUCAUGAUAUCACAGUAUCAGUGUUAGUUAUUAUGUCUCAUGCAUAUAUUCUUCCGCUCAUGAUAGUCAUUCUGUUAUUAUUAUUGUUCAUGCAUGUGAACCUCAUGUAUUUAACCUACCUCAUAUGCAUACCAGUACAUUUAAUCGUACUGACACAUUCGCGUUAUAGUAUUUUAUACCAUAGGUUCAGAGACACGAACUCUAGAGCAUCAGUAGCAUUCUAGUCUCAGCAGUCAGAGUUAGUAGUGAGUCCUCAUAUUUUGAGGACAUGAUCAUUACUUUGUUAUUUCAUUAAUAAAUUUAUUAGUUGGAGUUAGUUGGGGACAUGUCCCAUCAACUCUUUAUUCUGAGAUCAUGUUUUAGAGGCUUUCCAGACUACGGUAUGUUCAGAUAGUUUAUAUAAGUUUUAUUUUGGGUAUCUCAUACCCCACCUAGAUGUUAUAUUUUUAUCAGAUAUUAUGUCUCAGUCUUGAACUUUAUGGCCUUUCAUUUUUAUGUUUUCAUAUUAUACAGUAUAUUAUACAGUAUACAGGUAUAGAUAUCAGUCAUGGGUUAGCAUGUGGUCCUUCGAGGUUAUAAGCACCAUGUAGCAUUUCGGGUACCAGAUUUGGGGUGUUACAAACUUGGUAUCAGAUCCUAAGGUUCAAUAGAGUCUUAGAGAGUCUGAAAGCCAUAUCUAGUAGAGUAUUGUACGCCACAUUUAUGUGCAGGAGGCUAUAUGAUCUUUUAGGAAUAAUUUCCCCUCUUUCAGUAUUUAUGUCAUGCUAGUGAGCAUAAUAUCAAGUCAAUCUCUUCAUAUAAUUUGUUUCUUCUCUUUAUUUUAGAACAUGUCUCCUAAGAGAAGAAAUCAGCCUGCCCAAGAAAAUCCCUUUGAUUAACAUAUUUCUCAUGCAAAGUUUAGAUAUGCAUUCACUACUCUUGCUCAGUUAGUUUCUGCUUAGAAUGAAUGAACAGCUGUCGUUCUAGCAACCCAGUAGCCAAUUCAGCUGCAGCCAAGAUUUGGGACUUCACCUGAAUAAAUCCUCCAUCUUUUCUCAAGUCUAAAGUAGAUGAGGACCCUCAAGAAUUCCUAGAUCAAGUGGAUAAUAUUACUGAUAUUAUGGGGGUUACUCCUAUUGAGAGUGGUGAGCUAGCUACAUAUUAGUUGUAGAAUAUUGCUCACACUUAGUUCAAGUAGUAAAAGUCCGAGAGGGCAGCUGAUGCAGGGUCAGUUGAGUGAGAGUAGUUUACUUCUACUUUUCUUGAUAGAUUCUUUCCCCUAGAGCUUAGAGAAGCUAAGGUGUUAGAAUUUAUCAACCUCGCGUAGGGAAAUAUAAUGGUGAAAGAGUACUCCUUUAAGUUUACUCAACUAGAAAAAUAUACCCCUCAUGUGGUUGUAGAUAGCAGAGCCAAGAUGAGUAAGCUCGUUUCAGGGGUGAAUGAUAGCAUUGUUAAUGAAUGCAGAUCUGCCAUACUGAAUAGUGACAUAACUUUAGCCAGGCUUAUGAUCCAUGCUCAGCAGAUAGUAGAGCAAAAAAUUAAGAUGAGGGAGAAGAAAAAUAAGAAAGAAAGGAUAGGUAGUUUGAACUUUGCUCAGCCCAAAUUAGAAAGAGAAAACCGUUCUCAGUUUCAUCCUAAGUCAUCAGUUUCAGCUCCUUCUUCAGCCAGUGCUCCAGUUUCUAAGUUCAGAGAGGGUAACAAAGAUAGAGCACCAGGAUCUAAGUCUUAGGGCAGUAUUAGCAGUGCCCACACUUAUUCUCUUUACCAGACUUAUGGCAAGCACCACCAGGGUACUUGCAGAGAUAGCAGUGAUACUUGUUUUAUGAGUGGCAUGCAAGGAUACAGAGUUAGAGAUUAUCUGCAGUCAGGUCCACAGGGUCAAUAGAACCUUUCCUCAGCUCAGUUCGGUCUCCCCAAUCAGCAGGGUGCCACCUUUAGUGCUACUAGUGGUCAACGUCCAAACAAACUCUUUGCUCUUCUUUCCUGGCAAGAUUAGGAAAAUUCUUCUUACGUAGUUACUGGUACGUUAUAGAUAUUUCUUGUGUAUGUUUAUUAUUUGUUUAAUCUAGGUACUUCCUUGUCUUUUGUUACUCCCUAUAUAGCAAGUGAUUUCAGAGUCAGUCCCAAAAUUCUAGUAGAGCCCUUUUCAAUAUCUACCCUAGUGGAUAAAACCAUCAUAGCCCAGCGGGUAUAUAGGAACUGCCCAGUUAAGAUAUUUUAGAAAAUCACUUCAGUAGACUUAGUCAAAUUAGAUAUGACUAAUUUUGAUGUCAUUCUCAGCAUGGAUUGGCUUCAUUCAUUCUAUGCCAUAGUCGACAGCAGAAACAAAAUAGUCUAGUUUCAAUUCCCAAAUAAACCUGUCCUUGAGUGGAAAAGUAGUUUAUCUACUUUUAGAGGUCAGUUUGUUUCCUAUCUUGGGGCAUGAAAGAUGAUACUAAGGGAUGUGUCUAUCAUCUUAUUCAUAGUAAGGACUCUAGCUCCAAAACUCCCAAUCUUGAAUCAGUUCCAAUCAUGAAUGAAUAUCCAGAUAUAUUUCCCAAAUAUCUUCCAGUAAUUUGUCCUGAAAGGGAAAUAGAAUUCGACAUUGAUAUUCUUCUAGAAACUCAGCCUAUAUCUAUUCUGCCAUAUAGAUUGGCACCAGAAGAACUCAAAAAAUUGAAAGAGCAGUUGAAAAAUCUCUUAGAUAAGGGAUUCAUCAGACCUAAUGUUUCCCCGUGGGGCGCACCAGUCUUAUUCAUGUGCAAGAAAGAUAGUUCUAUUAGAAUGUGCAUUAAUUACCUUCAAUUCAAUAAAGUUAUGGUCAAGAACAAGUAUCCACUUCCCUGAAUUGAUGACUUGUUUGACCAACUUUAGGGUGCCAGCUAUUUCUCUAAGAUAGAACUCAGGUCCGGCUAUCAUCAGCUCAGAGUCAAAGAAUGUGACAUUCCAAAAAUAGCCCUCCGUACUUGGUAUGGUCACUUCGAAUUCCUAGUCAUGUCCUUUAAUCUUACCAAUGCCCUAGCAGCUUUCAUGGACUUGAUAAAUCGGGAUUUCAAGUAGUACUUGGACAUAUUCGUUAUAGUCUUCAUAAAUGAUAUUCUAGUCUAUUCCCGCAGUGAUCGAGAUCAUACAGACCAUCUUAGAAUAGUACUUCAGACUCUCAGAGAUCAUCAUCUAUUCGCCAAAUUUAGUAAGUGUGAAUUUUAGCUAAGGUCAGUAGCAUUCCUUAGUCAUAUCAUUUUCGGUGAUAGCAUUAGAGUAGAUCCUCAAAAGACUAAAGCAAUAAGAAACUGGCCCAGACCUGUCUCUCUAUUAGACAUUAGGAGUUUCUUGGGUUUUGCUGGCCAUUAUAGAUUCUUGAAGGAUUUUCUUCUAUUGCAUCCCCUAUGUCCAGAUUGACUCAAAAAAGGUCAAGUUUCAAUGGUUAGACCCUUGUGAGAAGAGUUUUCAGGAGUUAAAGACUCGACUCACCUCAGCUCCAAUUCUGGCUCUUCCAGAUGGUUUAGAUGGGUUCCUGGUGUAUUGUGAUACAUCCAGAGUAGGUUUGGUUUAUGUCAUUUUGCAGCAUGGUAAGGUCAUAGCCUACGCCUGUAGACAGCUUAAACCCCAUGAGAAGAAUUAUCACCUUAAACCCCAUGAGAAGAAUUAUCCUACUCAUGAUCUUAAAUUAGCAGUCGUAGUUUUUUCUUUAAAGAUUUGGAGGCAUUAUCUAUACGGUGUUCAUGUAGAUGUGUUCACAGACCAUAAGAUCCUUCAUUAUGUCUUUUCUCAAAAACAUCUCAGUCUUCAUUAGAGAAGGUGGUUAGAGAUCUUGAAAGAUUAUGACAUGAGUGUCCUUUAUCAUUCGAGCAAGGCUAAUAUAGUGGCCAAUGCUCUUAGCAGACUAUCUAUGGGUAGUGUUGCUCAUGUGGAAGACAGUAAGAAGAAGUUAGCUCAGGAAGUCCAUCUAUUUACCAUGCUAGGCGUUCGCUUAGUCGAUUCAGAGAAGGGUGACAUAUGGGUUCAGAGUAGUUCAGAAUCAUCUCUAGUUUUUGAGGUGAAAGAAAAUCAAGAUAGAGAUUCCAUCCUUGUCAAGUUAAAAUAAUUAGUCUAGGAUCAAAAGUAGAGGUUUUCUCCUAAGGGAAAGAUGAUACUCUGCUUUGUUAGGGUCGUCUCUGUGUUCUAAGUAUAGAUGAUAUAUGGUAGUGAAUCCUUGCAGAAGUGCAAGGUGUACGCUACUCUAUUCAUUCAGGGACCACAAAGAUGUACCGUGACUUAUAGGAAAUCUAUUGGUGGAGUGGGAUGAAGAGAUAUAUUGCAGAAUUUAUGGCUAAGUGCUCUACAUGUCAAUAGGCUAAGAUAGAGCAUCAGAAUCCUAGUGGUCCCAUGCAGGAGUUCAUUAUUCCUACUUGGAAGGGUGAAAAGUGAACAUGGAAUUCGUGAUGGGUUUGUCUCGAACUCGUCAUCAGCGUGAUUCAGUCUGGGUCGUUAUAGAUAGAAUGACCAAAUCAGCCAUUUCCUUCCAGUCCAUACCUCUUAUUCAGUCGGGGAUUAUGCCAAAAUCUAUAUCAGGGUGUCCCACUAUCUAUUAUUUCAUAUAGAGGUACCCAGUUCAUCUCUUAUUUUUGUAAAGCAUUCCAAAAGGGUCUUGGUACCCAAGUUCAUCUCAGUACAGCCUUUCAUCCUCAGAAAGAUAGUCAAGCAGAAAGGACCAUUCAUACUUUAGAAGAUAUGCUAAGGGUGUGUUCAAUUGAUUUCAAGGAUAGUUGGGAUGACUACUUCCCUUUGAUUGAGUUUGCAUACAACAGCAACUAUCAUUCCAGUACUAAGAUGGCUCCAAUCAAAGCUCUAUAUGGUAGGAGAUACAGAUCUCCAGUCGGUUCGUUCAAAGUUAGUAAGGCCUGAGUCAUAGGGCAUGACUUGGUAUUCAAUGCCUUAGAAAAAGUCCAAUUGAUCAAGAAACACUCUGGGCUUCUCAGAGCCAACAGAAGUCUUAUGCGGAUAUUCAUACAAAAAAUCUCGAGUUAGAGAUUAGUUACUAUGUCUAUCUAAAGAUCUCACUUAUGAUGGGAGUGAAGAGAUUUAGCAAGAAGGUAAAUCUCAGUCCCCCAUAUAUCGGUCCCUUCAAGAUUCUCAGUCUUUUUGGCAAGGUAGCUUACGAGCUCGAGUUGCCUUCAGGUCUAGCCUCAGUUUAUCCAGUCUUCCAUGUCUCUUUGCUCAAGAAAUGUAUAGGUAACCCAGCAGUUGUAGUACCUAUUCAGAGCAUAGAUGUUCAGAAUAGCCUCUCUUAUGAAGAGAUCCGAGUCGAAAUCCUAGACUAUCAGACUCGUAGACUAAGGAACAAAGAAGUCCCUCUACUCAAAGUUCUUUGGUGAAAUCAGUUUGUUGAGGGAGCUACUUAGGAAGAAGAAGUAGACAUGCAUUCCAAGUAUCCCCACCCCUUUUCCACAAACUCAGAUCAAGCUCAAGGUAACAAUUCUCCUUAAGAUUUCCAGUUUCAUGCUCAGAUUUCAGUUACAAGCUUGGUAUCCACUUCAUGUUCAGAAUUUUAUUAUAUGCUUGGUAUUGAAUACCAUUGCAUAUUCAGUCAUGCAUUCAUGUAUUAGUUUAGUUAUAUAAUUAUGCUGCAUUUUUAUUGUGAGAAACUUAGUUCCUCAGAACACUCAGUUAUGCAUUCAUGAAUCCGUUACACAUGCAUCAGAUAUGUAUCUUCAGUAUAAUAUGUUCAGUUAUUAGUUAUGUCAGUCAUGAAAUAAUUUUUCAGUUGCUUAUAUCUAGUAUGUACGUUAGCUUAUGUUAUUCCCCUUACUCUCAGUCUCAUUCGAGGAUGAAUGUUCUCAAGGGGGAGAUAUUAUAAUACCCCAUACUUUUUCCUAGCUUGAAAUUAUUCCAAGAAUGUUAGAAGCUUUCUUUGAAAGAUGAAUCCACUUUCUUAUACGUGGAAUUUAUAAUAUUUUUACUUUUUUGAGUAGAAAAUUGAAUUAGCUUUUCAACGAUACCAAUUUCGUCCAAAUUUAGUAUCGAAGUAAAAAGUUAUGGACGUUUUAUCGAGAGCUGUCAGAACUACCCAAGUACAAUGGUCAGGACGACGGACCAUCUAUCUAGCAAUGGAUCGUCACCUAGGCCAUUGCAGCUAAGGCAAUAAGUCAGUUUUCUAGAUAAGGUGCGAUGGACAGGUUGAUGGACCGUCAAAAUUGCAUGGACCGUCGCCCCAGGCCAUCGCUACUAAGGCAGUAAGUCCCUAUUCGGGUCCACAUGCGACUGUCAAAAUGAUGGACCGUCGACCCAGUUAUGGACCAUCGCACCCACCGUCGCACAUCUCGUUCAGUUAUUUUUAAGGCAUUUUUAAAGGGGCUUUUUGGCCUUUUACCACCCGUUCAUAUACCUAGUAAUAUCCGACCAAGGCUCCUAAAUUCAUUAUUCGUCCACAACAUAAAAAUUAGGGUUUUCUCUCAAAGAUUUACCCCAAGAACAAAAUCCAAAUUUUUUCAAGAAACUAAGAGAUUCAAAUUCUUCAAGUUCAAGAACUUCAAGAAACUCACUACCAGGUAUGCAUAGUGUUCAUUCAUGGACUACUUUUAUCCAUGAAGCCCAAGUAUCUCUUUUCAAAAUUCAAGUGUAUGGAUUUUUAUGAAUUUCAUGUUGGGUUUGCUUUUGUUCAUGUUGAUAAUGACCAAUUGAAUUCUAUUCCAUGUUUUAGUGAUAAAAUCUUAACGGGAAUUUAUUAUUACAGGUGUAGCUUCAUGUGUAUCCAUGAUUAAACCCUAGAAUGGUGAAAUUAGAGAUGAAUCAUGAUGUUUCUUUAUUGUAUAAUGUUGUCUACCUAUACUAUGCCUACUAUGUGUUUGAUUAAAUGCCUAUGUGAAGGAAAAGUGCCCAACUAGCAUGAUAUUAUAAAAUCCCAUUUAUGUACAAGUUUAUGUAUAUCACAUGUUUGAUGAAAUGCCUCAAUAAAUGAAUUAUGGAUUGUGAUGUUUGUCAUGUAUUCAAUAAAGUCAUACUUUGUCAGUUUCUUUCCAUCGAGUCCUGGGGGUACUUAUACCCGAUAAUUUAGCUAUGUGCCAAGAGUCAGUGUCAUGUUUUCAUGAUAUCCUCAGUCAAGCCAUAUUUAGUAGAAUUUAGUUAGUCAUGCGACUAGGUAAAACUCAGUAAAACUCAAAAAUCCCAGUAAAUCUCAUAAAGCUCAGCAAUAUAGGAAUAUCAGUACUAUUCCGUCAGUCAACGAAACUCAGUUUAUACAAAUCAAUAAUCUAUGUUCAGCGUCUAUUCAGAUGGGAGUUGAAAUUAGCAACCAGUAAACCUAAGGAUGGGAACUCACCUGCCAGUACAGGGUGUGAUUCUUAGAAGCAUUCCUUGCAUUCCAGAACUAUGUAGCCAUCAUAGGUUGAGACAUUAUGCCUGCUAGUCGAGGGUAGAUGAGAUGGCUUAACCUGCUAGUCGAGGGUUUCCACCAUUUUCAUUAGAGUAACCUGCUAGUUGAGGGUCACUCAUCUGUUGUCCUUACCAUUGGCGCAGUAUUGGUACCCUUCCAAUCAGGGCACAGAUUAGACCCCAAUUUAGCUAUAAUGCAUUAUUUGGGGCAUGUUGGUUGGAUGAAAACUUCCCAUAAUUUUAGAAUCAGUAUCAGUCAAGAACUCAAAUAGUUCUUCAAAUUUUAGGACUAUUAGAUAUAGUCAACUCAGCUUAGUACGGAACUCGGAUAGUUCCAUCAGAAUCAGGACUGUCAGAUACCAUCAUUCAUGUUAUUAGUAUUCAGAUUUAGUAAUCAUGUUAUUACGAUAUCAGUGUCAGUUAUUAUGUUUCAUGCAUGUAUUCUCCCACUCAUGAUAGUCAGUCUUUUAUUAUUAUUUUUUAUGCAUAUGAACUCCAUGCAUUUAGCCUACCUCACAUACAUACCAGUACAUUCAAUCAUACUGACGCAUUCACGCUAUGAUGUUUUAUACAAUAGGUUUAGAGACACGAGCUCCAAAGCAUCAGUAGCAUUCUGGUCUCAGCAGUCAGAGUUAGCAGUGAGUCCUCAUCUUUCGAGGACAUGAUCAUUACUUUAUUAUUUCAUUAAUUAAUUUAUUAGUUGGAGUUAGUUAGGGACAUGUACCGUCAACUCCUUAUUCAGACAGUCAUGUUUUAGAGGCUUUCCAGACUACAGUAUGUUCAGAUAGUUCAUUCCAAUUUUGUUUUGGGUAUCUCAUACCCCUCCCAGAUAUUAUAUUUUUAUUAGAUAUUAUGUCUCAGUCUUGAACCUUAAGGCCUUUCAGUUUAUAUUUUCACAUUAUACAGGAUAUUAUGCAGUAUACAGGUACAGAUAUCAUUCAUGGGUUAGCUUGUGGUCCUUCGGGGUCAUGAGCACCGUGUAGUAUUUCGGGUACCAGAUUUGGGUUGUUACAAACUUGGCAUCAGAGCCUAAGGUUCAAUAGAGACCUAGAAAGUAUGUACAUGGGUAUGUUGGGCACCACAUUUAUGUGCAAGAGGCUAUAAGAUGUUUUAUCAAUAGUUUCCCCUCUUUCAGUAUUCAUGUCAUGCCAGUGAGCAUAAUCUCAAGUCAAUCUCUCCGGCUUAUCCAUUUAUUCUCUUUAUUUCAAAGCAUUCCUCCCAAGAGAAGAAACCAGCCUGUCCAAGAAGAUCCCUUAGAUAAACAUGUUUCUCAUCCAAAGUUCAGAGCUGCAUUUACUACUCUUUCUCAGUCAGUUGCUACUCAGAACGAAUGACCAGUUGUCGUUCUGGCCAACCCAGUGGCCAAUUCAGCUGUAUCCAAUAUUUAGGACUUCACCUGAAUGAAUCCUCUAUCCUUUCUCGGGUCUAAGGCAGAUCAGGAACCUCAAGAAUUCCUAAAUAAAGUGCAGAAGGUUACUAACAUUAUGAGGAUUACUCCUAUUGAGAGUGUUAAGCUAGCUGCAUAUCCGUUGUAUGAUGUUUCUCAUACAUGGUUCAAGCAGUGGAAUUUAAACUACCCUGAGAAGGAACUCGAAUUCCUUUUAAAGGAGUUAUCUCUUAUGAAACUAUGGAUUGGAGAUUUUUUAAGAUUGUUUUAUUUAUUUUUUUGUGUUACCAAGAUCUUUAUGAAGCAAGUCAAUUUCAACUUGACAUGCUUCAAUUUCUAUUUACCAGUUUCGUCGCUCCUCUAAGAGUUUUUAUUUAAAUCGAGCAUCACAACUUUUCUUCUCUUGAGAAAGCUUGUUAUAUUCAUCUAUGAUUAUUUGAAGUUCAUCGGUUAUCAUAUCUAGAUUAUAAUCAAAAGUAGUACAGUUAAGAUAGUUAUGUGAUCUUACCUCACUAGGUUCACAUGUCUCCAUGAAGCACAUAUUAGUAACCUCUAUUUCUUCUUUAGAUUCAUCUUUAUCGCUCCAGGCUCCAAAAAUUUGAUUUUUUCUAGACGGUCAUUUUCUCAAUUCUAGACAAUUUUGUUUGAAGUGUCCACGACUUCCACAGUAGUAAAAGAGAUUAUCGUUUCUUUUAGAGUCAUUAUUUUUCCCUCCAUAGGAUCUUUGUUAUCUAUAUCGCAUGAUCUAUCUUAUGCCACGGUUGAUGAGGGUCAUUCCUUUACUAUUGGCAUCUUCUAGAAUAUCCUCCUCUCCAAUUACAGUAGCAUUAAAAGCUAGUGAUUUUUUCUCCUGACCCUUGUAAAACCUGUUGAUAUAAUUUUUCUCAUAUGCAAUAAGGUUACCUUGUAGUUCAUCAUAUGUCAUGUUAUGAAGGUCUUCAUCUUCCAGAAUAGCAACCUUAGUUUCCCAAGUUUUUGGAAUACUUUGGACAAGCUUCUAGACUUCCAGGCUGUAAGGAUAAUUCAUUCCCAGUGAUUUUAGUUCGCACAUAAUUUUACUGAAUCUAGCAAACAUUAUUUUAAUAUCCUCAUUUUUCUCAAUUUUUUAUAACUCUUAUUCAUUGAUAAGAGUAGCAAUUUUUGACUUUUUGACUUUGGUGGUUCCUUCAUAGGUUACCUCUAGUUUGUCCCACAUUUCUUUUAAUAUUUCACAUGUUGAAACCUUAUCGUAUUCUAUUCCGCUAACUGCACACAAAAGCAAACUUAUAACAUAUGUGUUAGUUUGAAUUACCUCUUGUAGUUCUUUGGUGACCUCAAAGCUUUUAAGAUCUUCAAUAUCAAAACUGCUAGAUUCUUUAUAUUUAUCCUUUGACUUUUCCUUAAGUACUGGAAUCGGCUUUGGACCUUUCUUGAUAACAACCCAAGCUUAGAACUCAUUUGAUUGGACAAAGAUCCUGAAACUAUUCUUCCAAUAUAUUAAUGUUGUCCAUUAAACUACGAUGGUCUUAUGGAUGAGUAACCAUCCUGAAGGAGAGCACCAACAAUCUGAUAAUUGGCCAUCUAUUAUUUUCUUAAUUACGGUUAAGUAAUGUUAUUUGUGAGACCUGCUCUGAUAAAAAUUAAAUUUCAAGAGCGGGUGAAUUAAAAUUUUCUUAUGUGAGUCGACUACUGACUACUCACAGUCAGUUUGCCUGCAGAUCAGAACACUUUACACACAGAUUAAUCUUAUAAUAGUUAAGUAAGUAAAUAACAAAAAAUAAGGUAACAACACAAAGAUUUAUCCUGGUUUGGCACACCAAUGUAGUGCCUAUGUCCAAUCCCCUUGGGUUUCAAAGUCUCCUUAGAUUGUUGAAAGUUUAGCUUAAGUACAAUAAUAGGAAACAAGUUCUGAGGACUUAUUUUGCUCUUUAGAUCGUGUGACACAGCUUCAGUUGAUGUUACAAAGUGACUCAAUCCUAUGCUUUAUUUAACAAUCGUAAACUAAAGUUAUCAAGCUUUGUAAGACUAAGAAUGAGACACUUUGAAUUUUCUCCUUGAAGUUGCGUGAAAAGUGUUUGUCUUUGAUCUUUAUCAUUUAUAGUCUUUGGCUGCUACUCUUCAUAAGAAAACCUAAGAUAUUUCUUCUCAAUUAAGGAUGUAAAUUGAUUCCUUGAUUGAGGAAUAUAGUCGUAUGAUAUGUCCAUAUCAGAUAUUUUUGUAUGUUUCUUUAGAUCACAUCCAUAUUAGAUAUGUCCAUGAUCUAUUUAUUCUUUUUGAUUUUGUAGAGAUUGAUUUCUUUCCAAAUAAGCUUGUGAUCUUUUCUUUCUGAUUGAUGUGAUCUUCCUUGAUUUUAGGAUUGUGAUCAUUCUUCUAUUUCCAUGAUAUUUUAUUGAUCUGCUUUCCAUAUUCUUGAAUUGUUUUUUGGUUUUAUUUGCCAUUUCUUGACCUUCCAAAUCUUCCAAUAUGUUGAGAUAAUUUAGAGAUAUGAUUCUCUUUCCAUUUGUUCUUGUUGUGCUUGAUUAUCCUUGGAUACAUGGAUGUCCUUCUAUUCUUGAUGUCCUUCUAUUUUUGAAGUCGUCUUCCUUUACCUUUCCAUUAUUAACAGUAGAAAAUAUACACUUGUUAGUUUGUCAUUAUUAACACAUAAACUUAGGAGACUAACAAUAUUGAUGUUAUGAUGAUGCCUGGUGAAUUCGGGGGAUAUAUUGAUGUUAUGAUGAUGUCCGGUGAAUCCGAAGUCUUUAUUAAUGUUAUGAUGAUGUCUGGUGAAUUCAGAGGAUAUAUUGAUGUUAUGAUUAUGCCCGAUAAAUCCAAAAGAGGUGAUGAUGAUGUGAUAAUAUUGUGUGUGGUAAGUAUAUAUGUGAAUGCAUGGUUGAUGUGAGGUUAUGCCAUGUGUGGCUAAACUCAUUUGGGUACUUGGGACAUGAUGUCUUCCUUGGUAAAUUACUAUCCAUUCUUUGUCAUUAAUUACUAGAUAUGAGGUCCCUUGUUAACUCAAAUUAGUAUCUAGAAGUAGAUUAUGCUGAGUAUUGGGUUAAGGCUAAUUGAUAUGUGCAAUCUUGUGUAGAACCUAAGGCUCACCUAGUUAAUCUACUUGACUUGGAUGAAUGAUUAUGCUAUGGAAUUUCACCUAGUGAAGUGAUUAUGUAAUAACUAGUUGUAUCUAAUAAAUGACUAUGACUUGUAGGCUAGAAGCCUAGUGAACUAGUUGGUGGACCUUACUUAGCUAAAAUAUAAAAACUAGUCCUUAAGGUUGUAACAUGCUUAAUGAUAAUAGACCUAGCAUUGUAUAACGAGUGGUUAAGUUGACAUCUACUAUGUGAUUCUGUGGUGUCUUAAUUGAUGACUUAUAUAAUUAGAAGGCUAACUAGAAGGUGGCUUAGAUGGGUGAAUAAAUAAUAGUGUUGGUAACUUGUAUAUUUCCCCUAUUUGAUGACUAGUAAACUAUUAGACUUGCAAACUAGUGGAUCAUAGAAAUAGAGGCUAGCUAGUAAAGGAUAGACAUAAAGUUUAUUAAUGAGUUAGAUAUUAAAUAACUAUAUAACCAUGUUAUGCUGAUAUCAGCUUCGUUGUGGCAAAUUGUGGUAUUGAUGAUAAAUGUAGACCUCGGUAAGAGGCCAUGGAGGGAAUGUACAAUCUGCGGCUUUGGUGAGUUGCUUGUGUAGUUAUGCCUUGAUAUGUUGAUGGAUUGAUCUUUUGGUGUAUUCUCCGGUGGUAUGGGAUACCGUGACGAGUUCUUUGUUUGUUUUCCUUGAGUGUACUUCCCAGGGGUAUGGAAUAUCGUGGUAAGUUCUUUUACUUUAUACUCUAAUGAUGGAAGUUGUAUUGAUUAUGGUAAUUACAUGAUUGUUAUUGUAUAUAUAUGUGUGGGUUUAUGCUUCCAAAAUGAUUACUUAUGUUGUAUUAACGUUAUGGUAUAUGUGGAUAUAGAAUGUUGUACUAUUGUUGUAGUUGAUUAGUAACCUUAUAUAGUGAUAUGGAAGAAGAUUCAAGUUCAAUUCUAUACCUUGACUUUAAGUUAUUAUCUUAUUGUAUAUCAUCUUAUAUUAUAAUUUAGCUCAGUCGGCCGAUGAUGCCUACAGAGUACCCAUGUUUUUGUACUCAUACUACACUUUUGUACCUUUUGGUGCAGACUCAAGUUUUGUUACUGUCGUUGAGUCGAGAUCGUGCGGUGUUGAUCAUCAGGAGACAGGGUGAGCUCUUGGAGUUUGAGUUGCCUUUUUUCCCUUAUAUCCUUAUUAUUUCUUUUGUGUUCGAGAUGGAUUUAUAAGACUAUUAGAUAUUGAGUUGUAAAUUCUAUUAUUGAAUGUAGAGAGGCUUUUGUACUAAUACUAUCAGGUUUUGGGAUUUGUAUUAUAAUAUUAGUUAUUUCUUUGUGUAAUGUCUUUGUUAUAUUGUGUUCCUAUAUAGGGUCCAUGUUGGACGUUCCUACCAAGGCAACCCAUUGCAUUAGUUCUGAGUUAUGGUGUUGGCAUACCUACUAGUGGGUUAUAGUAGGUGCAAUCAUGACUUGAAAUUAGGGUCAUGAUAGUUUUAAAUGUUUCACUUUUUUUAAAUUUUUCAAAUGAACCAGGGAAUUUAAAAUUUCAAGGUAGUUUUGAAUUUCCUGGAGAAGAAAAAGCUUCAGGUUGAGAAAUUUCUUGUUCUAUUGGUGACCCAAACCCUUGGUUUGGAUUCUCUAUCAUGAUUGGAUGAGCAUAAAUUUCUAAUAUUAAGGAGGGUUCAAUGGAGACUAACUCAUUUGUGGGUUCUUGACUUUCUAAGGAAGAUACAAUUAGAAGAAUUGACUUAGGUUGUUGCUGGGAACCCGAAUUGAUAUUUUCCAUGGUUUUGAUUUCUAAAGAAUCAAAGUUUUAAAUUCAGGUUGUUCAGUUUGAUUUUCAGGAGUUAUACUUAAUUCUGAAUUUUUUACUGGGUUUGAGGAAGUAGGAACAUUAGCCCUUUGGUUUUGUGAGUGAAAGAGAGUGAAAGGGACCAAUAUGAUUUAACUAAGGCAAUUGAUUAAGAGUGAUAAGUUGAGACUACGAAUGGGAAAUAGCCUAAUUUAGCAAUUUGAAGAGGUGGCCGUUAUGAUUAUAAGAUUUUGAAAUGACAUAGCUGAUCCUAAUAAGUGUGUCUCUUCAUUUUUCAAAAGAAUUGAUGACUUUUAUUUAGAUAAGGAAAAACACAUGGCGUUUUAGACAACAUUUUAUCAUUAUUAAAGCAUCUUUUAUUGAUACUAACCUGAGAGAUGAGACCAGAUCCCUUUCCCUUUUGAGUGAAUCUUUAAAUUUGUUAAACUCACAUUUGUCCACUUCCAAAGUUGUUCCCAUGGGUGUAUACUUGCAAGUCUAGGGUACUGAGUACGACAAAUAUGCACCUACCUUAUCAAGGAUACUUGUCUCCUAAGGAUAGCCAAUUUUGGGGAAAGAUAUUAAUUCAUAUGUUAGUUCAGGCUAGUAUCAUGCUUUACCCUCUGCACACCUCUUUACCUCAGAACUUGUUCCUGAAGUAGGUCUAAGGACCAGGUCCCAGAUUUGACUUUAUUCAAACUUCUAAAGCUUCACCUUCUGAGAUAAGUUUUCUAGGGGCCAGGUCCCUGAGAAUCAUGAUCCCUUUCUUAUUGAUCUUCUACUUCAGUUGGGAUCAGUUACUGGAGUUCUAAAUCAUCACCAUUCUUAUUUGCAUCUUUCAUCCUUUUGCCCAUCAUCUUCAGCAUCACCAUCCCUUUAUCUUUGCUCCAUGAGUUCUUCUUGUCUUGGAAAUUUAAGCUAUGUUCUACAGUGCACAGGGUUCUUUGAAAUCAACUAUUUCAAAAUAAGACACCUACACUUGAAGUGUCUUAAGAAAGAGAAUACAAUCAUACCUACCCAAAUUAAGCUUUGAGCACAUACUAUCAAUAUCCCAUUCCCGACUGCAAUCCCCUUUCUGAUAUUAGGAACUAUGAUCACUUGUUGGAUUUAGGAACCCAAUUGAGCUUGUGUUUACAUUAGGAGGGCAAUGGUGUGAUCACGACCUUCUUGGCCCAACUAGGUAGAGAAAUCCUUUUCAUAAUUCCAGAGGCUUGAAUCCCUUAGUAUGUGAAUUAUACUGCUGAACAUAUCUGAAAUCAUUCAUUUUUGCUCUAACCAACUCUGAUAAUUUUCCUUUAUGUGCCCAUCUCUUCUAUAAUGAGUACAUAGAGGCUUAUGGACCUUGUUUCUAGCAUCAGGAAACAACCUUUCCAUGAGUCCCAGUAGGUUGAGGUUUUCCUUGAUAACUAAGAGCUUUUCCAUUAAUAGCACCUUAAAUAGUUAAGAUAGAAAGAAUUUGUGCGGAUGUAGUCCCAUUUAAGGAUUUAUUAUGCUCUUCUUUUAAAAGGAGAAGGUCCCUUUCUAACUUUUCAUUCUUAUGGAGUGCAGACAUAAGAUGACUAUGAGAUUCCUUCAAGUUCAAUUUGGAAACCUUGAAGAUUCCUUCUUCACCUUACUUUCUAAAUCAUUUUCCUUCUUUUGUUGACUCAUACAAACCAGAUUUUCAGAUUUCAAUUUAGAGACCAUUUCCUUAGUCUCAGAUAUCUGAAGGGUUAAAUUAAUCAAUUCAAGCUCUUGAUUCUCUACUUUCUCCUCUAAAUCAUAUUUCUCAAUAGUCAGCUCACAUAUAGAAUCAAUUAACACACUUGCAAGGCUUUUUUAUUUCCUAGAAGUGUAGUUAUCUAGAUUUUCUGUAAUGCUAGAAAGAUUUACCUCUUUUUCUUCUUUAUCUCAUGUGUUUUCCAUGAAUGCAAAUAGAGAAUCAUAUAUAAAUAUACUAUCUUUCACUGCUAGCAUAGACACUUCUCAAGACUUCUCAUCUUUAUCAAAUUCACUAGAAGAAUAUCCUCAUACCGCUAGAGCUUGCUUUACAACAUAAUUAGUUGCAGCCAUCCUUCUUAAACUUUCAGGGACUAGGUCUCUGUUCUUUCAUUUGUCACCUUCAGUCUUAAGAUACUCCUGAUCAUCCAAUGUAUGCAUUGGACAGUCCUUAGUAAAAUGCUCAUGACUUUUAUAUUUGUGACAUACUUCAACAUUGAUUCCUCCUUUGCUGUUUCUUCCUCUUCUUUGAAACUGACCACUUUUCCUCAUAACUUUGAUAAUCAUUUUUGCUAAUUAGGCACCAUCAGUUUCCUCUUCUGCUGAAUAAUGUUUUAAAGUCUUCAAUGAUAGGGAUUUUUUCCCUUUUUUCUUCAUUCUUCUCCAGCCCUUGCUCUUCUUAAGAUCGUGGUUUUAAGAUUUCCAAUUAGUUCAUCCAUAGUGAGGGUUUUCAAAUUAUUGCCUCAGUUAUAGAAUCCACUUUGCUUACCCAGGACAUAGAAAGAACACCAAGAAUCUUCCUUAAUUGUUCAGACGAAGGAAUCACUUCUCCCAAGCAGUGAAGCUUAUUCAUGAUAGAAGGGAAUCUUGUAUGCAUUUCUCGAAUCAUUUCUCCUUAUUUCAUGGUGAAUAUUUCAUACUGAGUAGUUAGCAUGUCUACUUUAGAAUCCUUUACAUUAGUAGUACCUUCAUGAGAAGUUCUCAAGCAAUCCUAGAUCACCUUGACAUUUUCACAGGAUGAGAUCCUGUUAUAUUUAUCAGGUCUAAUACCACACACUAGCAGUUUCCUUGCCUUAUAGUUCUUUUCAACUUUCUCUAUAUCUUUAUCAUUGAACUCCUUCUUGCUUUUGACAAUCACUUUUGUAACUUCUCCUUCUUUGACUUCUCUAAUAGGAACAUGAAUACCAUCAAGAAUUAUGCACAUCAUCUGACUAUUCUCAAUCAUAAUAAAGUCAAACAUCCUCAUUUUUCAGCACCCAUAGUAUUACCCAUUAAAUCUAGGUGUCCUAGUGGUAGAUUGUCCUUCUUCUAGGUAAGGUGGACCAGUCAUGCUAAUCAAAUCACUCUAGGUGUGAACCUUUUAGUAUGUUCGACCUAGGAUAUAAAUUGUUGAAACCUUUGGGGUUGGACCAUACAAUGAGAGAUCUGGUCCCUCAAAAUCGAUCGCAGGGAAAAACACAGUAAUUCAACCAAAAACAAAGGACAGUGCAGGAAAUAUAAAGAACACCAGAUAUAACAUGGAAACCUCCUUGAUCAAGGGAGGAAAAACUAUGGCUUGCCCUCACAAGCUCCUCAAAAGUUUACUAUAAUAAACCUCUUGAUUACAGACUCAAACUAGAAUGUAACUUUUGGUUCCUCCUGCUUGUAAUAACUCUACUACAAGCUCAACUUGACAACUUUAUCAAGACACCUCAACACUGGUUAACUCUAACCAGUUUUAAGCUUAGGCAACUCUACCUAAAGCACUCCUAAAAUAAGAAAAAAAGAUUAUUACUCUUAUAAAAUGAGUAAUUCAUUUACAUACUCAAGAUGAACUCAAGAACUCUCUCUAUUUUAGCACACAUAAAACAUAAGAACAUGAGCAAUAUUGUAUAUUAGGUUUUUACUUCUUUCACUCUUCAACUUUUCGUAUUUGCGAAAACUCAUUGAUAGAGAAGCAUUAUUUUCCUUUUAUAGUUGAGUGAUGUUUAGGGUUAAAGUGCAAUUGAACCAGGUAUCCUAAAUAGUACAAGCAACACCUGCGCAGUUUGUUAUACAAGGGGACAAAACUGUACAGGUGUGUCAGCUGUGUUGUAGCAUUGAACAUCAAGGGAUCUGUCCCUUGUAGUCAUCUGCUCAUUAUCAAAACAAGACACAGCAAAAUCAAAUGCAUAUUGUGCUAUCUAAAAAUGACUACCAAUAUAGGCUUAUUUUACUUAAACAAUUACAUCCUGAUCUUGUUGGUUUUGUUGAUGCAGGGUAUUUGUCUGAUUCACACAAAGCUCGAUCUCACAUAUGCUAUGUAUUCAUGAAGAAAUAUGAGAGUGUGUUUUGUUGAGUUCUAUGAUAUAUCUCAUUCAAGAAAAAAGUGGUUUGCAAUGUGAAAAACUAACCACGAGUUUACAUGAAUAUAAUGCAACAUAGCACAAUUCAAUGGAGGAUUCAUAAAAUGAGAUAUAACAAAGAACAUUUUUCCAAAACUUUUUACACACAUAAACUCCAAAAGAAUGGCAAUAUGAAUGUACAACAGAUUCAUUUUAGUGAUAAUAUGAAUGAUUAUUCAUCAAGUAUUAACUAACUAAAACUUUCGAGAAGGUGGAGAUUUUCUUGUAAGAUUUUAAUGAGGCAGAUGAAAUACGUAUUAUUAGAGAUGUGUACUCUCUUUUCCUUUACGGGAUAAUUUUUUAAUAAAUUUUUCUAGUAAGACUUUAACGAGGCACAUUAUCCAUCAAAUAGACAUUCAAGGGGGUGUUUUAUACAUCUAAUUUGAUUUGGAAUAAAUGUCUACCCUAAUUUUAUUUGGAUUGAAUGUCUAUUGCUUAGGAGAAAAGGAUCAAUUUAAUUCUCUCCUAUAAAUAGAGGCGUCCUCUUCAUUGUAAUUCCUCUUCAUUGUAAUUUAUCCCUUAAGAGAAAUAAGAAUUAAUCCCUCUUCUCUCCCUUAUUAUUUCUUGUCUUUUCUGUAUUAGUUAAUAACAAAUGUAAUGUUAUCAUAAAUACAACUUUUUAACAAUUUUAAAAGUUUUAAUGUAGGAAGUUAGAUUUUUCAGCUUUACAAAAAUGAUGUAUAUAUUUGUAAUUAUUGACAGAUAUUUGAUAUGACUGUCAGAUUUAAUUUUUAAGAAAAUCAAUGCAUCAAAAAAAUUCAUGUAAAAUUCAUUUUAUACUUCAUUUCUUGAUCAUUAAAAUUUUCCCUUCCACAAAUUUAUCACUAAUGAUUUUCAUCUUUUAAAAUAAAAUAUUAAGAAUUGAUAAUCAAAUAAACAACAAUGCUGGAAAUACAGAUCAAAAAUAAUAAGCUUUCGUUGAAUUUUUAUACACUAAUAUUUGACAGUAACCCAGUCUCCUUGUUUAUAAUCUUAUUCCAACCAUCUGCAGUAACAUAGUGAAUUUCAUUUUACCUCCCUAACAUUUAUGAUAUGGGAAUGAUACCCCUUCCAUAUAUUGAAAAGAAUGAAAAACCCCUUAUGCAAUAUUUUUUGGUGAGAUUCUUUUCUGAAAUAAAAAUCUUUUUUCUCUCUGAGAUUAAAUUAUGAAACCAUAUAGCUUUUGUUAUUAUCCUAUUUAAUUUCUAUUGAAUAAUAUUUUUCUUUUAGGAUAUAAAGUUGCUUGGAAUAAUGUAUUAAUAAAUUUCAAGCUUUGUGAACAGACUCACGAUAACUGAAAAUUAAGUGUCCUUGAGUAUGCAUAAAUUCUAAAUAAAAAUUGUGUUAAUAAAUAUGGGAGCAUACCCUUGAGUUUGCACGUAGUAUGUUGGUUGAUUAACAGACCAAAUCAUGAUGGAUUGUAUAAUUUUUAAAAUCAAUUUCUCUCUGAUAAUUUAGGACAUCUUCGUUUUGAAACAAUUAAAUGUACAUGGUCGUGAAUUUUGAGUCCUUGCUAGAAAUUUUUGCAUUCCUAGCAUUGCUUUGGAGUUCAAAAAUUUUAAAAAAAAAAAAUUAGGAAGAAAAAGACUACAUAAAUAGCAAAAUAGUAGCAAUAUCUUGAAAUAUUUUAGUUAUUGGGGAGGAUCUCAAAAUGAUUAGAGAAUUUUACCCCUUUUGUAUAAACUGAAAUUUAGGAAGCAUCAAAGUGUAUAUUUCCAUAAAUGAUAUCUUGAAAGAGAGAGAGAGACAAGGGGAGGGGGGAUGAUCUUGGUAGCAUUGUGUGCUUCCUUGUUAGAAGUUGAGGGACGAAAAUUGAGCAACUAUGCACCAAAGAGUCUAAAAAUCUAGGAUUUUCAGGUUUUGCUUUAUGUUUUGAUUGUAAAACUCUUGUUGGAUGAGCCAAUGAUCAAGAGUCGGAGUCUGAAUGUUUGGAUUGUAUUGCACAUAAGACUUUGAUGAUAACAUGAUUGAAGUUGUUUAUUUUUAGAGAAGUUUUGUAAGUCUCCAUACGAAAGCUAAUUUUCUAUCUUGUUGGAUUCUUUGAAGAAUAGGAGGAUCAAUAACCUUUGAUAAAAGUUCAAUAUGUUUUUAAUUCUCCACCAUAGUUGAUCAUGUUGGACAAUCAUGGAAAGCACAAGGAAACUAUUAGAAUUGAUAAAUAGAAACAUGAGUGCAUUUUGUUGUUCUUGAAAGUAAAGUUAAGCCAUUUUCGGAUAUUUAUAUGGCUAGUAGUCUAAUCUUUGAUCAAGAACAGUGUUGAGUGUGUGUUUUUCUUCAACCUGCAUUUAGUUUCAGAGAACUCCAAAUAUUACAUUAUAUUAUUUUUAAGAGAAUGACAUGAAAUUAAUCGGCACAAAUUUGAAGACUGCUUCUCUUUUUACAAAACUCGUUUUCAAUGUUGUAUUUUUACGUGCAUGAUGUUAUCAUUUGAUUUCAUCAAAAAAUAAAUUAAUAAAUAAUAUUUUCAGAACUUAAAUUUUCUAUUUUUAUGAGUCUAUCCACAAAUCAUGACAUUCAUAUUUAAUUAUUCCAAGUAAUUAUAUCUUUAAAGAAAAAUAUUCCCUUUGUCCUAGUUUAUGUGGCCUAUUUCGCUUUUCGCAAUUCAAACAUGGCUAUGUUUUACUGUAAUCUUUCAUGUAUAUUUCAAGUAUUUUAAUAGUCAAUUAUUGUAAAUCAUAUUACUUUUUAUUUAAUAUUCAAAUAUAUAAAUUUUAUUUCAAAAAGAAUGAAGAUUUCCUCCAAAUUCAUGGGCGAACUUACAUUGUUUAAAUCUUAGAAAAUGAAAUAUGUCACAUAAAUUGGGAUAGGCAAAGUAUUAUUUUGAAUAAAAUAUAAAUGAAAUGAUAGUAAAAUUUAUAUAUUUUAAUACUAUAAAGAAAAAAGAUCUUUUUUGAGAAAAAAAAUUCACUGAAAAAUAUUAUAUAAAGGAACUAUUGUUCCCUUUCACUAUGUGGAGGGGAUAUUGUUUCACAAACCAUAAAUAUUAGGGGGUAAAGUGGGAUUAACUCACAACGGUAGCAAACUUUUAAAAGGAUAAAUAAAGUAAUUGUGAAAGUAAAGUAUAAAUAUUCAAAUAAUUGAAGUAACAAAAAAAUGUGCAAAACAAAAUUGAAAACCGAGAGAAAAAUGACAGGCUAAAGUCAUUUCAUAAUAAGAACAUGUAAUUAGGUUGAAAACUAUCUACACUAUCAAUUUUAUUCUAAAAAUAAAACUUCCCUCCCAACUUUGAAAAAUAGCCAUUCUCCCCCACGCCCCCCCCACUCCCACCCCCUCCUUCCCUUUUUCCUAAUUAACUUUUUUAAAUGCAUAUUCUACCGUUACAUUGUAUACCUUUUUUGUCUCUGUAUAUGCUAGUGUCUUAAAUUUAUAGAUAUUUUUAAAAAAAAAUUAUUCUUCUUUAUGUUUGUAACAUUAGUUUGACACUUUCUAAGAACAUCUAAAAUACCAAUGUAAAAUAAGGUAUCUGAAAUUUAAAGGAGAACAUAUUUUUUCGUUAAUAUAUUUUUAAAAAAAAUCAAACAAAUGUUUGUAUGAAAAUUCUUUUAAUUUCUGUUUUACUAAAUGCUUGUAUGAAAUUCUUUUAAUUUCUGUUUUACUAAUUCUUUUGAGAUUAUAGUCUCUGAUCUAAAGUGACUUUAUCAUAUAUAAUUUAAAACUUAAUCCACCAUUAAGUGAAAUCUUAAUUUUUUUUGGUUUCUCAUCCGGUGUCCGCUGCCCACAUUGGAGCCCCGAAUAAUUUAGAUCGCGCGUUGCAGGGCUCAUUAAGGUGGCGGUGUUCCCAACAGAGUUUUAUCCAUACUCAGGGUCGAACUCUCGACCUCUGGCUAAGGGUGGAGCAGCCCCAUCCACUGCACCAUAACCCAUGUUUGUAAAAUCUUGUUAGUAACUCAUGUUUGCGAGAGCAUAUGACAUAAAAUUAUAAGAGCAGAUUAGAAUAUAAACUUUAUGUUUAACCUACUUAUAAAAAUUUAAAAAUAACAAAUAAUUAAAUAUAAAUAAUAUCGAUAAAUAAUAAACAAUAUUAUACAAACAAUAUUAAUUCAAUAACUAAAUAAUAGUAUUACUUCCUACCUAUAUAUAAUAAAUUCUUAAGAAAAAAAAUAAUUUGGAACAAAUUUAGUAACAUUUCUACACACUCGUGUGUGUGUAUAUAUAGAUAUAGAUAUAGAUAUAGAUAUAGGUAUAGGUAUAGGUAUAGGGAUAUAGCUAUAGGUAUAGAUAUAGAUAUAGAUAUAGAUAUAGAUAUAGAUAUGUAUGAUUAAGUGUGUACUAUCAUCAUUUUUAGUGGCAUGUGAAACUCCUCAAAGCUCUUAAAAUUUACCAAAAUGCAUGUGAACUACAAAGUCACAAGAACUUUAAUUGGAGAUACAAAAGACAAAAAAAUUCUAUGUAAGGACUACCAAAAGUGGGUAUUUCCUCUUAUAUAUUGUAGUAAUAUAUAUAUAUAUAUAUAAAGUUUCUAUUAAAAUAUUAAUAUCAUCCGAAAAAGAAAAGUGAGACAAGAAAGUACUCUAUUUUUACCCUAUAACAAUCUCCACACCCGCAUAGAUUUGAUCGCAGAUGCAGUAAAUCUUCUGCGACAAUGGAAGUCACUAUUCACACGCCCUUCAUAGAAUCGGUCCAUAUCCCACACGGACGAGCUUGCAGGCAUGACAAACCAACGUAGUUAAGGCUCCACCGGUGAGAACGAGAGUCCACAAGAGUAAGAAGUCUGUACCUAGCUUAACUUUAUUGGUGAGAUCCAUGACUGUAGGAGCGGGUCUACAAGAGUGACCUCCAGACAACAGAGUGACCCUACUGGUGAGGCCAAGGUUUGCAGGUAACGUUUUAACCUCAUAUCAUCAACCCACUUACAGCAACAAUGCAACAUAUCAAACUCAAACUUAACCCUCAAAACUCACCCACAGCACCGUGCAUAAAGUAAAUAUGCUACCCAACUAAAAAUGAUACUUUGGACUCAAUAGAAUUGUCAAAUCACUGAAAAGAGUUUGUUUGAAUCAAAUUUUAACCAAAGUCAAACCUAUGCCUUAAACUUUUAAUUUUUCAACCAACUACUCAAAUCCAAAUACCUCGAGACCUGAACCAAAGGUUCUAUAUUUCAAAAAUCACAUUUAAGAGCUAAAGAACUAUUAAAAUUCUCAUACGACCUCAUAUCAUUAAAUAUAGAUUUAAGUCAAACAUAAUAACUUUCAAUGCAUCCAAAAUAAAAAACUUGCAUACUUUCAAUUGACCAUCUUGAAAACUAUUCCACCCACACCAUCAGAUCAUAAGUACCAUAAAGCAAUUAAAUGGAGGGAUGGAAUACUUAAAGUGCAUAUAAAAAUCACUAUGAGCAUUGUUACAAUAGUACACAUAUGCAUACAUAUAUACUUUCACAACCCCAACCCAUCUGGAGUGGCACCUGCGUUAAUUCUUCGAUGGGAGAAUCACCUAACCUAAAUUACUCACUGCCAACACUAAGAUAAAACUAAGAGAAACUAGACAUUUCAUAAAGUAAUUCAAUGUUUUGAAAAGUCUAACAAUAAAAAGAAAUUGUAGAGAACUCUAAACCCCCUGACCCCCUCGAGAAUUGAAAAUCAUUAUGCCAAAAUAAUAAAAUUAUCAAUAAAAUCUAAAUAGAGAGAACAUAUUUGUAUCCAAAAUAAAUGCACAAGAACUAGUAGAGGACUCAUGGAUACCCGAAUGAUGUAGAUCACCCUUGAUUCGAAAUGUGGUCUGCUCUAAAGCUGAGGUCUUAAUGCAAUUGUUGAGAAUGCUCUGCACUCACCAAAAAUAAGAGCUAGUAUAAUAUCAGUACACAAAAAGCCACAGUGUAUUUGUAGGGUCACCAUUCAACCCAAACUAAUAAAUGUAAAUAAAUAACCAUAGCGUAGUAAACAAAAAAAACCAUGAAUACUUACCAAAUAACUUUAUCUCAGUUGUGUGACACUUAGCCUUUUUCGAACGACACCACAAAAUUCAGUCAAGUGCAAGUCAAUAUAGACAACAAGACAAGUCAAAACCAUGACUACCAUCAUGAACCAAGUCAACAAACCAUGACUUAACAAUAAUGUUACACAUUACCUCAAAUAUAUUAUUUGUAAGUAGACAACAAAAGAAGAUAUGUCAAUCAAUGGAAAUUCAAAUAGUACCACUAAAAUGUCUAAUUCAUUAAUAGUAAAAAAUGUAAAUAACCAUAGUGCUCGGUUUACUCAAGAAAUCAUCACAUUCAUCAAUACCUUGUACAUACGUUCUAAGGAUCUUAUGGUCACCCACUAGCCAUGACCUGCAGGGGAUAAAAUCUUCUCCAUAUAUACAUCAAGUGUCUACCAAUCUUAUAUCAAUUUACAUCCCAUAAUAAUAAACAUAUAUCUUGUGAAGAUGUCAAACUACUAAUAUAUCCCACAAUAAUUAACAUAUAUCACGAUACUUACAACCACAACGAGAAUAAGCAACCAUACUUGUAUAAUCAACAAGUUCUUCAUAUAACCUUAUUACAUAUUGUUAACAUUUAGGAUAUAUGAUUUACUUACUUUGAGAAUACAUUGUAACAAGUAUAUGAAGAGAUAGUUAACAUGCACAUUAAUGAGUGGCAAUUUACCACUCAUUUAUAUCUCAGUUCUUGUACACUAGGGUGAUUAAAUUGAUGAUAUAAGACUAAUUCUCCAACUAAAUGCACUAAUUUCUAGUGUGUAACUUUACAGGUAAAUUUGAUAAAAAGGGAAUAAAGUCAAAGCUGGAAAAGAGGAAACAUGAGCAAAGCUAGACAAAAGCUGAAGACAGGUCUCAGGAGCAGACUCAGAUGUCACUAUCCCAAUCUGAGAUGCUGCAAUCAAAAUUUUUUAGUGCAAAAAAAUAUGUCUCCAUCAUGAGAAGAUUCAUCAUGAUCGCAAACUGAUCCAUGCUUGUAAAAUAGCUAUGAUCAUGAGUCGAUGCCCCGCGAUUGCUAGAGUUUAUGCAGAGAAGAUAUCACAAUCGUGAUAAAUAGGAUGUGAUUGUGAGUGUCGCAAAAAUUCAGGGGCAGUCUUGUAAAUUCAAUUAGGUCAGUUCCAAAAAAAAGGCUAAAUCCCUAUCAUUUUCCAAUAUCUAGUUUUUAGUUUUUGAGAGCUAAGAAUACCAAUUUGAGUGAUAAACAAUUUGUGAAUGAUUUCUAAGAGAGAUUUUAGCUAUUUUAUUUGAUUUAAAGCUUGGACUAUAUUUUAUUUUCCUUCCAUGGAUGAAUUGAAUGAUAAUUUUGGUAUGAAUCUUUCUUUUAUUUUCAUGAGUAGCAAAACGUAUUUCAUGGAGUUAUGCUUUGAUUAGGUGGUGAUUAAUGAAUGAGUUUUGAUUAUUUAUCCAUUUAAUUAGUUGUUUAUGAUGGGUUUUUCUUUUGUUCGAAAUUUAAUUAAGAAAUAGGGGUUUCAAAUCUAGAUUAACUUUGAACCCAUAUCAUCUUUAAAAGAAGAGAUAUGGGUGAGGAAUAAUUGUGAACAAUAACUUGGGUUAGCUCAUUUGAUAGAAUCUCUUAAAAAUAAGGAUGGUAAUUGAGGCCACAGAUUGAUGAAUUUUCUACACUUGUGAGGUGUUUCAAAGAACCUACUUGUGAGAUAUGGUGUUUUUGUUGAAAUAUUAGCACCAAUACCCUUUAAUAUAACCUACCCAAUACUUAUAACCAAACUUGGAUAAAUUAUUGAUAACCCAUGCAUGACUCCCACCCAUGAUUGCGUAACCCCAAGAUUUCUCCCCAUUUGAAUUCACUCUUUGAUAUUUUAAUCUUAUAAUAGUGUUAAAUCAUUGUUGUUACAAAACUACUCAAACCAACCAACCCCCCCAAUUUAAUUUUAUAUGUUGUUUAAUUUUGCACUAUGAGUUAGCAUCUAGUUAACUACCAAUACUCAUAGGUCCUUAAUUCUACGUCUUUACUCCUCGUGGAUUCAACCCUGACUCUUUAUCAGGUAAAUAUAUUAAUGAUGAUUACUUUAAACAUAAUUUCAAGUGUAAUUUUAAGUGUUAUCAAAAAUGUUUUUAUUAUUGGGGAGUGAAACAUAGUUUUCACUUUUGUAGUGUUGCUAGUGACCUUGGGUUAGCCGUAGAGAUUUAGUUUUCAUUAUUUUUUAUUUUUGUGUUUUAUAAGGUGAAAAUCGUAGCAUACACGAUACCAUGAGCCAACACAAUAGUAAUGACGGGCCUUUUGAUGGGCUUAAGUAGAUGGAUCAUCUUGGAGAUGCAGGAUGAGCUAGUGUUAUUCGCAUUUCACCGGUGAAAAAUAGUGUGUUUCACAUUUCUAGUGUGAUGAUUCACUUACUUCAAAUAAAAGGGUUAUUUGGAGGCCAAGUUCAUAAGGAUUCUAAUCUACACUUGAAUAAUUUUACUGAUGUGUGCGCUACAUAUGACAUAGCCCAUAUUUCUCAAGAAUCCAUAUGAUUACAAAUUUUCCCAUUCUCUUUGAUGAGAGAAGUGGGUUUCUAGUUGUGAUCUUUGACCAUGGGACAUAUUACUUCAUGGGUAGAGCUAAUGAAACAUUUGUGGAAAGGUACUUUCCUCCUUCUCAAAUGUUGAAACUAAGGCCUGAAAUCACUAUCUUUUGCCAAAUUAUUGGCAAGCCAUUGUAUAAAGUUUGGCAAUGUUUGAAUGAUAAUUUCUUGCAAUUCCUAAAUCAUGAGGUUCCAGAUAAAAUGCUUUUUCAAAUUUUCUAUAGGGAAUUAGAUCAAUUGAACAAAAUGGUGGUUGAUAAUGCGGUUGGGGAUUCUUUUAUUAAGUUGUGGUGUUACGAUGAUUUAGUUAGAUCAAGUGAAAAAACAGAAUAAAAGAUGGCAUACGAGGGACAUCAAAGUAGUCAUCGGUCCACUGCAACAUCUUUUGUAAGCAAAGAACAAAAGAAAAAGGAUGAGGAAAGGGAUGAGAAUAUGGCCAAGUUGAUGAUCCAACUUUAAACACCCUGGUUUUUGGACCUUAAAAAAUUUCCUAGAAUUUUGGUUUGUGGACCCAAUAUAUGAAUCAUGGGUACGAGCCAUAUGUUGGGGUACAAAUGAUAUGAAACAGUCAUAUAUAGACCGGUGUUGGUUGGUAGGAUGGAUUUUAGUCAGUGGAAUAGGUAUGACUUGGUGGUACGAGGCAUAUGGUUGGAAACAUAAUGUUUUUUCUUUCAUUUAACCUUAGACUUAGUAACUUAAGUAGGACCUAAGUACGAGUGUCUCACCAGGGGCCGUAAGCCAGGGUACGAGUCAUAACCAGGGCUCGUAUGGUGGACAGUGUUCAAACUUUCUAUGAUUCUAUCUUUCCAGGGAUACGAGUGAAGGGUACGAAUCAUAUAUUGUCAAUAUGACUUGGGUAGAAUGAGUUGUACACUAGACAGUAUUGGAUCCAAGGGUUGAAGAUUAGGAUACGAGUGGUGGGUACCACUCGUAUCGAAGGGUACAACUUGCGAGGGUCAGUCAUACCCCUACAAUGGGAUUUUGUGCAACUUAAGUAGAGGUAUUCUGGAUAGUUUUUCACUUAUCCUAAUAAGGUCACAUGAUUUUCAACUCUCUUGGGAGUCUAUUUACCCUAUUAUUCUAUUCAUUAACACUUAGAAACUCUUCCUAAACACUCUAUAAUUCUCUCAAAAACUUUUGGGCAAGAAAACUAGGGUUUCAACUAGAGAACUAAUUUGGGGAUCUUGUUGAUGGCUUAUCUCCAUCUACUGUGUCAAUUAAGGCAUGUUUCCUUACCUCAUUGUUAGUUCCAACUACAGGUGUGAUUUUAUACAAUGUUUUAAUGAUUUGAAUGUUGUAUGUUUUUGGGUUUUUAACUAUGAUUUGAGGGUUUUUGUUAUAAAUGCUUGGUUAUGGUUUUACCAUGUUUUAAUAAUACUUUUAUAUGCAUUAAUGGUGGUUUUGGAUAAUUGUUUGCAUGGGAAUGAUUCUUUGGUAAUGGACUUAGGUUUUAGAAAUACUAUCCCCCCAAUGUGUUUGAUAAAUUGCCUUUAACAAUGUUUCCACUAUACUAUUGGUUUUAUUUUACCGAAACUUAUGCAUGGUUUAAACUUGAUAAUAGAACCCUAAAUAGUAUGAAUGGUUUAAAUGGUUUUAAAUGGAUUGGAAAAGCCUUGGUGGCCAUGGUUUUGGUUAAUUGGAAAUCAUGAAGGGUACGUAGAAUCCCUUAAACCUAUAUAUGGUUAGCUAUGGAUAAAACUUGCAAGUUAUUAUUUGUAUGAUGAUACUACUAUUAAUGGCCUUGGUUAAUUAAUGGUUAAUGUAUUGGUUGGUUUCUUAGUACUGGUCUUAAUUGGACAAUAAUGGUGUGGUGUGCAGAAAAGUCGUGAAAGGUAGAGGUCCCAGGGACCAAAAUUGGAAAAUCAUAUUUGCCGAUGUGAGGUUCGAUCUUGGUGACCGCGUGAAUGAUGUCACACUUUAUAAUUGGGGGAUGUACUAGUCCCCUAGGUUUUCUUUCUUAGUCGUACGGCUUCAUUCACUAGGUCCCUUUCAGUAGGGAGAGAUGAACCCAUAUAGCCCUGGGUGGUUUAGGAUGGCGAAGCUACACAGCCUAGGUAAAGAUUUUAAUGGCAUGCUAAACCCAGACCCCUUUCCUGACAUGGUUAUACAUAUAUGUAUGGUUGUGUGCAUAUGGAUGGUUUUACAUGUUUUUAUAAAGGCAUUAUUUUAUCCUUAUCCUGAGUUCAUGCUAGCGAUCACUCGCUAACCCAUCUUUGGCUAGCUAUAUACCAACGCUAUGCAAGAAUCGACCAUUCUACUCCUCCUACAUAGUGAUUGACUUGGGGACAACUGUUGGAUUGAAGUGGUGAGCUACCAUCUUUUUGGAAGGUUUCAUUUCAUGUUAUGGAUAUUCUUAGACAUUUUGAUUUAUUUUAAGAUAUUGGUUUUGGCUAUGGUUAGGGGCAUUCCCAAUCGAAUAUUCUUACUUUUUGGUUAGAGAAUUUAUGGUACUGCUAUGGGUUGGAAUGGGUGGGAUUGGUAUUGUUGUCGGCCUUAAUAUUGGCUUUGGAAUUGGGGCAUACAUUAUUGGACAUAAUUUUUAACCAUACCAGCAUAUUUAAUUUUGGGAUUAAUCAUAUUAUGUUUAGGAUCUCAUUUGUUUAUGCCCUAGUUUAUGGCCCUUGUAUUGGUAUUAUUUUGGUUCUGUAUGGUUGGUACGGUUUGGUGUGACAAGAUGACAUGAUAGGGUUGGUCUAGGAAUAGACCUAUCCCAAAGUCAAUCCUUGUCCAGUUAUGCUAUCUUGUUAUAUAUUCGGUACUCAGCUGACUCAAGGUAUGCUAAUGGUGGUUGGGUUGGGUAGCAAGGGGUGGUUCCCAAUCCUGGUUAGACGUGGAAGGCCCGUUAUGAAAAGUCCCCCGGUCGGGUCAGGUCACAACUUGACCUUCUUACCAAAUAUAUGAUGGAGGAUGCUCCUAAGUCGGUCAACACCAUUGAAUCCAAGAGUAAUAAGGCUUAUGAUGAUGAAUAAGAAGAGAAGAUUGAUGAAAAAAAUUAUUUCUUAUCGAAUGAUUUGAGGGGUUCCCACCCUACCUAUCAAAGGUAAAGUGGGAAUCAAGUUUGGAAAGAUCAAGACUGAAAUAGACAUUGGAGAGAUAGCGAUCGUGAUAAAGACCAGUAUUAGAUAGAUAAGGAUAGAUACUAUGACCGGUAUAUACCUCCACAGGAUAUAACCUAGAGUAAAGAGUCAAGCUUCAUUGAUAUGUAGAAGUUCAAAAAUGAAGAUGUUCUUGCUCUUAUCUUGAUGGGUGCUUAGGUGACUGACAAGAUGGUAAGAGAGAUAAAACGUGAUUGUUCAUGGUGAUGCACAAAAAAUGGGUAAAAAAUCAAUUGUUCCAUUAUCAUAAAUCAAAAUUCCUCCUUCAUUCCCACAAAGGCUCAAGAAGAAAGAUUAUAAUACCAAGUUCAAGAAGAGUCUUACCAAAUUUAGUAAUUCAUCGAUGAAUAUUUCUUUGCUAGAAGCCUUACAAGAGAUACUGGUAUGCUAAAAUUUUAUGAAGAACUUGAUCUCAAAGACGCAACUUGUGGAAUGUGAAACUAUUGAGGUAACUCAUAAUUGUAGCGUUAUAAUGUCAAACACAAUGGCGGUGAAGAAAGAGAACCCAGGUACAUUCACCAUUCCUUGCAUUAUCGAGGUAUAUAAAUUUUGAAAAGCAUUGUGUCUUGGAGCAAAUAUUAACUUAAUGUCGUAUGUUGUAUUUUAAAAUUUGGGUUUGGUGAUCCUAUGACCACCACUAUGAGGCUUUUAAUGGUCGAUCGUUCAAUUAAAAAAACUAUUAGCGUGUUGUAUGAUAUGUUGGUGAAAGUUGAUCGAUUUAUUCUCCCGACCAAUUUUAUCAUUCUCAAUUGUGAAGUUGAUCAAGAGAUCCCAGUCAUUCUUGGUAGGCCAUUCCUAGCCACCAGAAGAGCCAUAGUUGACAUGGAAUAUGGUGAGAUGAAAUUCUGGUAAACAGUGAAGAGGUCUUCCUCAGUGUGUAAGACUAAGAAGCAAUCAAUGGACUUGCAAUUGGUAUCGACGAUUGAUGUAAUAGAUGAUAAAGUGAACAACACCAUAGAAGUGUAUCUUGGGAGUGGACCCUUAGUGGGUGAGUUAAAAUACUCGAGAAGUGAGCCGAGUGAAAAGAAGGACAAAGUGUUGUAUUUGACAAUGAGAUGUAGUUUUUAUGAUAGAAGCACUUGUGAAAAGUCAAAGGUUAAAAUGCUUAUUGGUGUCAUUGGGUUCCCUAAGUGUGGUUCAACUAAACCCAAACAUAAAGAAGCCAUAUAAAGUUAAGAAAUUUACCCGAGAGCUCUAUGAGAGUAGUCAUGUAUUUCUUUGCAAUCAUAAGUAGAAGGACAUUAUGGAAAAUGCUAAGCGGUCGGGCCCAUUCAUGGUCUCAAAUGUCUAUUCAAAUGAAGAAAUUGAGUUAGAGGACAAUUAGAAGAAGAGGAUCGUGGUGAGUAGUCUAGGACUGAUGUAUUACCAUGUGGGGGGACUCAAAGUAGAUGAGGUUGGGUUUCUUCAAUUUAAAGAUCCAAAGUGAGAAUGAAUGGACGUUGUACCGUGAUGUUAGUUCAAGCGCUAGGUGGGAGGCAACCCAUUAUAGCCAUAAAUUUAUCCCGUAUCCUUUGAACUUUGAUUGUGAAAAUAGGUUAGGACAUUUAGUUUUUGAUUAAUCGAUAAAUUCUUACCACUUUGAAGGUGACAUGAGCAGGGGGGCAAAAAGUAUAUUAGAAUUGAGUUUGGAGAUGAAAUAAAGAAAUAAAGCAGGGGAACUGAGGAGUCUCAAUUACUACAAUCAUAAUGUGUAGAUCAUGAUUACAGUAAGGAAUAUCAGAAUUUCUUGUGCAUUCCUCGACUCAUGUGAUUGUCGUAAAGAGGCUUCAAUCACGAUAUCUCAUGUCAGGAGAAUAUCACAAUGUGAUCUAAGCAUUUAUAAAUAGCCUUAACAGUCUCAAAACUACUUCCAAAUCUCCCUCCCCCAACUUUUAAAUACCUAAAAUCACUCUAUUUGCAUCAUUUUUAAAUGGUUCUCAAUGGAUAUUCAUCUAUAUCUACACGUUAACAACAAGUCUGCCCUUUCAAUCCCCUCUUUGAAUGUGUAAAUUGAUCCUUAGUAGCAUUCUUAGGACCAAACCUUGGGUUUGCAGUUUUUUUUCCAUAAUUAGUGCUUGAAAUUGCUUUAUUUUGUGUGGUUAGCUUUUUUUAUUGGUGUGUGCAUCUAAAAUACCCUAAAUAUUUUUCCUUGAAAUUUUCUUGAAUUAUGGGCUUACUGUGUAUAUCAUGACUCAACCUACGAGUGUAGGGUGUCAUUACGAGUCACAGGACCCUAAGUUGUAAGGUGCCCAAUGUGUUUUCCAAAUAUGUUGUUUCAACUAUGACUUGCAUCUUACGAGAUGGUAAGUUAUGAUACAAGUAGUAUAGCCCAAAUCGUAGGGCAACCAGUAUUUUAUGCCAAAGCUUUCGCUAAUAUUACGACGCGGACCUUACCAGUCGUAAGUUCCCUUAACGAGUCAUAUGGUAUGACUUAUAACUAGACUAGUAUGGGUGCCCAUGGGGUACUGUCCAUCCUAUGACGAUAUGUCACGAGUCGUAGGGUAACCAUACAAGUCGUAAGGUCACUCACAUCGAUUGGGCGAUAAAUUUUAGUCAUUUUACUAAGGGUAUUCUAUAUAUUUUCCUCUUUCAUGACAUAAAACCUCUUUAGGGUAUCAUUAUCACUCCAAAAGAAAAUCAAAAUAACUUCUUAAACUAUCUCAAAUUCUCCCAAGCAAGAACAUUAGGGCUUCCAAGAGGUUGGUCAAUCAGAGCUUCCAAGGGAAAAAUCUGUCCAUAACUCUUGAUGUUUCAGGCAUGUGACUCUACCCUUAAAUCUGUUUUACUUAAAGCAUGAAAUUAUAUGAUUAUGUGGAUUUGAGCAUGGGUUUUGAUAAGGGUUGAGGGUUUUGGAAUGAAUGUUUCUUAAUCUAUUUUACUAUGAUUUAUCAUGCAUUGUUCAUGCUUUAUAUAUGGUUUUAAACUUGUGGGUGAAUGGGCAUGGUGAAUAAAGUAGGGAAUUGUGAUUUCCUCAAAUUUUAUGAAUAUUGACAAUUGAAUUUGUAAUAACCCCCAACCUAAUAUUGUGAAAGUGGUUUUGAGUAUGACUAUAAUUUCAUUGAAUUACUUUUGGAACAAUUGCAUGGGAUAAAGGGGUUAUUGAAACAUGAUAUUUUGAUUUAAUGAAGAAAAGAAGCCGGUGUUCCCCCACCUUCAACUCUUUUUUGUGACUUAAGAAUGAGGGAAAAUGACUAGCAAUUUGGCCUUAUAAAGUCCCUAAUUUUGGCCAUCCACUUAGCUGAUUUUUUACUACAAAUUUAAUCAAAUUGGUCCAAGUAGAUGAUGCACCUACUUAAAGAGUUCAUUAAUGAACAAAGGGAGUUGUUUUUACUAAUUUAAUGAAAAUUAUAAUGACAUGAUGAUGUUACCUUGAAAGUAUAGCUGGUAUGACUGUACCAAGUGUAUGCCUUAAAGUGAAUUGUGUUUUAAUGAAUGGGAAUGUCUACAAAGUGUUUCAAUUGGGAUUAACAAAGGGAUAUGUAGCCCAGCCGUGAAAGUGGAGGUAUCGGGGACCAAUACUGGAAAUCGUACUUGCCAAUACAGGGUAUAAAUAAUUAGGGUUCGAGUCCCUCUUAAUAUAUCAUUAGGUGGUUUGAGUCCCUCUUAAUAUAUCAUUGGGUGGUUCGAGUCUCCUAUGUUAAAUAACUAGGUGCUUAAGUUACCUUUGAUAUAUUCCAGGAGGUUUGAGUCCCCUAUGGUGCAUAUUUACAUAUGAUUAUCCUCUAGUUCGUGUAGCUACACGCACCGGGGCCUUUUCAUCUAUGUGAGAGUUGAACCGUAUAGCCCAUGGGUGCCUUAUUAUAAUGGUUAUGCUAAACAUCCCAGUUAAGAUUUUAAAAAAUACAUGAUAAUCCUUUUUGUCUAUCCCAGUAUUUUAUAUAAGUGUGUGUAUAUAUAUAUAUAUAUGCAUACAUGUAUGUGAACAUAUACACUGGCGGUAAUUAUCAACUUUCUAUCACCUUUUAAACCUCAAUUAUCAUGUUUUUUCAUUAAUUUGUUGUAAAUUUCUAACUUAAUUUUCAUUUGUGUAGGUAAAAGUUGAAAUGGGAAGAUGAUUAAGGAAAUUUGAUAAAAAUGAGCUGAGGAAUAGGUGAAAGAUAAGAAAUGUGAGCAAGAACUACAAAAGCUAAAAUGCAAUCCAAAACUCGACCCUUAAUUACCGCAAUUACAGCCUAAUGGUUGCAAUCGCGAUCAACAAUCAAGUCACCAAUGGUGAUCACGAGAUAAUCAUCGUGAUCGUGAUAUCACGAUCGUAGUUAAGAGAUGGUGAUCACAGUAUGGCGGAACAAGUUUAAGGGUAAAACUGUAAUUUGCUUAAAGAGACCAAGGGAAAGGUGGCAUUUUUGUAGUAAUUGGAAAAUGUGGAAUUGGGGCUUAAAUAGGGGUAUAUUUUAUCUCAUUUCCAUAAUCUUGAACAUAUAUCUUAAUUCUAAUUUUUAGUUUUUGACAUUAAGGAGAGAGUCGUACGUAAAAAAUCCAUAGGAGAAUUUAGUUAAAGAUUGAAAUUGAAGCUUUGGUUUACUCUACUUAAAUUUCAAUGAAAGAAUUGAAUGCAAAUAUGGGUAAUCUUUUGCUUCUCUUUAAAUCAAUGCAUAGAUAAAUUUUAUCUUGGGGUUAUGUUUGAGUAGGAUGCUAGUAUGUGUGAGUUUUUAUUGUUAGUUCCAAUUGAUUGGUAAUGAUGUUGGGUUUCACUAAUACUUGAUUGUUUGAGUUAAAAGUUGUGGGUGAAAACCCCAACUAUCUCGAAUCACACAUCAUCCUUGAAAGGAAUAUGAUAAUAUGUAUUUGUGAACAAUGAAAUUGAUUGUAGGUUAUUCCUUAACAUUAUCUUAGAAAUAAGGUUGGUAUGUGAAUAUGCUAUAUCUUAAGCAUCAUCCUAGAAAAAGGGAUGCUUAAUUGAGGUUUUGGGUUGAUUAUUUUGCCAUACCCAUGAGGUAUUUGAAAGAAUCCAUGGGGGAUAUUUUGGUGUUUUGUUGAAAGACUAACACUAAAACCUCUAACCUAGCCUACUCAUAUAUCCAUUAACUAAAAUAGGAACUUACUUGCAUGUACCCAUACACUAAUUACACCUAGGAAAGUAUAACCCCAAGAAUCUUCGUUUUUGGUUUUAUCCAUAUGUUGUUUGCUCUAUAUUUAGUGUUAUUGAUUUCUUUUAUUUAAACAAGUUAGAUUUAAAACCCCAAAAUACUUGUAUCUUAGGUUCAAACUUAUAAAUAUUUUUUAUGACUUUCUUUUAUUUCUUGUGUUAGGUAGAUUUUUGUUUUUGUUUAUAUGUUACUAUGGCAUCUUAGAAUGAAUAUGAGUUUGGUUGUUUCAAAUCUUAUCUUGAUGAUCCAUGUCCAUGGAUUCCACUUUUGAAAAAAUUAUAAAUAUGCUCCCCGUAAAGAGGUGUGUGCACCUUAUUGAUCCUAUUGGAAGUAUGAUUGUUCUUUAUGUCGUGGUCGAUAUGGACAUUGGAGUGAUUGUCCAAAUGCCCCCUCCCUUAAUUAUGCUAACAAAAAUGCUAGUUCUUCUUAUGAGUUUGAUAGGUCUCAUAAUGUGAUAAAGGAAGAACAACGUGUUGGAUAAAAUAAUGUUGAAAAAAUGCUUCUAACUCUCUUGGAUCGGGUGACUACAAUGGAUAAGAACAUUCAUCACUUGCAUCAAUCCGUAGCAGCAUUUGAAACAAAAAGUGAAAAAAAAAAAUUGGUGAGAAGGUCAAUCUUUCAAGUUCCAUGGAUAUACCCAAUCUUCAAAAUGAGGUUGAUAAGGAAAAGAUAUCAAGUCAUGUGGUUGACGGUGGAUUGUUAUGGAAUAAGUCUUGGUGAUUUUCCGACCAACCGAAUUAAAAAUAAUGAAGGAUACCAAAAUUGAAGAACCGACACUUGAGAUGAAAGAAAAAUCUAAGAAAAUCAUUUGUAAAGAAUCUAGUUCAUUCUGGGGUAAGAAUGUCAAGAAGAAUGUGACUCUAGAAUUGGGAAGAUGACCUCAUUCCAACCACUUUUCGAUAUUAUUCUUGGUGAAUGUGAUAAAAGUCGAACUACCCGAACAAAUGAUCAACGUUGGAGAUGAGGAGCACGAUUCUUACAUUUUGGAGUUUUUCAUUCCAAAAGGGUAAAAUGACUUCCCUCACUUGAAUUUUGAUAAGUGCAAAAUCAAAUUUUGACAAGUGAUUUUUCGAUGUUGUCACCAAUACCCAACGACCCUAUUCGGAAGUUUCAGUGACUUGGGGUGAUAGUGGCACGUCGCGCCAAGGAUAAAAAUUGAGAAAUUUUCACAAGAAUUAAAAUACGCUUCCAAGGGUUAAAAGGGUCAAUUUUUCACCCUUAUUUAAACCCAAUAACACGUGAUUCAGCCAUUUUUUCACCCAAAACAUAGUAUUUAUCUCAAGUUUCUCUCAAGAACAAGCUAGGAUUUUCAAUUGGGGAUUCUAAUCCAAUCCUUAAAUUCAAGAGUCUCUCCGUCAAUCUUUUCUAAAUCAAGAACUAAGGUAUGUCAUGUGUUGAUUCAUGGGUCUCUUUUACCCAUGAAUCUCAAGAAUUUAUUUUCAAAAUCCAAGAUUUGUAUAUUUAUGAAUGUUCAUGAUUUGAUUGAAUUAAAAAUUGAUGUUUAUGUUGUUAUUUGGUUUCGUUCCAUGUUAUAGACUAUUAAUUACAAGAAUUGAUUCUAAUAUGUGAUGAAUUAUGCAAUAUUCAUGAUAAACCCUUCAAUUUACAAGUUGAUUGAUGUAUCCAUGAUUAUUAGAUGUGUUGAUGAUUGUAUAACCAAAGCAUGCUCCCCAUAUGUUUGAUUAAAUGCCUAUAUGAAGGAAGAGUGUCAUACUAGUAUGAUAAUGUGAAAUCCUCAUUUAUAUACAAGUUCAUGCAUGUCAAGUGUUUGAUGAAAUGUGUUAGUCAAUGGAUUAUGGAUAUAUAUGUAGCCAUUGUUGUGAUUUAGAAUUCAUGCCAUGAAUUACUUUUAUGUUAUUGAGUCCUGGGGGUACUUGUACCCGACAAUUGAGCUAUGUGCCUAGAGCCAGUGUCAUGUUUUCACGAUACUCUCAGUCAAGCCAUGAUCCCUAGAACUCAGUUAGUCAAGUAACUCAGGAAAACUCAGUGAAUUCAGUAUCAAUCCAGUAAUCUCAGAAAUUCCAGUAAAUCUCAGUAAUCCAGUAAUCUCAGAAAUUUCAGACAGUUAUCAGAUCUCAGUUGCAUUUUAUCAGUCCACAAAAUUUAAUGAACUCAGUCUAGUCCAGUUUAGUUACUCAUGUUCAGUGUUUAUUCAAAUGGGAGUAGGAAUUAGCACCGAGUAAACCCAAGGAUAGGAACUCACCUGUUAUAUAAGGGUAUGAUUCUUAGAAGCAAUACUUGCAUUCCAGAACUACAUGCCAGUGUAGGUUGAGACAUCACAUCCUAUUAUAUAAGGGCAGAUAAGGUGGCUUAACCUGUUAUAUGAGGGUUACUCACAGAUUGUCCUUACCAGUGGCGCGGUAUUGACAACCUUCCAAUUGGGGUUACAGAUUGGACCCCAACUCAGCCAUAAUGGCGUAUUAGGGACAUGUCGAUUAGAUGACUACUUCCCACAGUUGUAGUUACAGUCUCAGUUUCAGUAAUAGAACUCAAAUAGUUCUUCUAAUUUUAGGACUGUCAGAUACAGUCAACCCAGUUCAGUACGAAACCCAGCUAGUUCCAUCAGAAAUAGGACUUUCAAACACAGUUAUUCAGAUAAUAGUAUAUCAGUUAUACAAAACUUAUGUUAUCAGUAUUCAGUUUCUGGACUGUCAGAUACAGUCAAUCAGACUAGUUCUUCAUAAUCAGAACUAUCAGAAAUAGUCUUUCCUUUAUCAGUAAUAUAACAUCAAUCUCUCAGUCUUCAGUAGACUCAGUCAUCAGUGUUAGUAAACUCGGAUGUCAGUAAAUUAGUACUCAGAACCCCGUACCAGUGUUAGUAUGGUCAUAGUUACAGUUACUUGUUCAUGCAUGUAUUCUCAUAUUCAUGUUACAUAGUUAUUUAGUAUGUUCAUGCAUAUGACCCCAUGCAUUCGACCUACCUCACAUGCAUACUAGUACAUUCAAUCGCACUGACUCAUUUGCACUAUAGUGUUUUACGUUUAGAAGCACGAGCUAUAGAGCAUCAGUAGCAUUCUAGUUUUAACAGUUAGAGUCAACAGUGAGUCCUCAUCCUUCGAUGACGUGAUCAUUAUUUUAUUAUUUCAUUAUUAGUUUAUUUUAUUAGUCAAAGUUAGUUGGGCACAUGUCCUAUCAACUCCUUAUUCAGACAGUUUAGAGGCUUUCAAACUACAACAUGCUUUUAGACAGAUUAUUUUAGUUUUGGGUAUUGUGAUACCCCAUUGCAAACAUUACUUUAUAUUCAGUUUUAGUUCAGUUUUGAACCUUAUGGCCUUACAUCGUACAUUUCACAUAUUUACAAUAUAUUAUUCAGUGCUCAAUAAAAUAUAUCAGUCAUGAGUUAGCUUGUGGUCCUUCAGGGUCAUGAGCAUCAUAUAACAUUUCGGAUACCAAAUUCGGGGCGUUACAAAAGUUGGAUAAAAGGUUCAAGUCUUCAAAGUAGUGACAUAGAAUGCCCUUAUUCAAAGUAGUGACAUAGAAUGCCCCUUACUUUUACCCUAAGUACCUUGAAGAUGUGAUGAUCAAAAGUUGGGUAAAAGAUUCAAAUCUUCUAAAUGGAGACAUAAAUAUUAGUCAAAAGAUGUCAAGUCGCGAUUGUUUUGCGAAAAUUUUGACUUUUAAAAAAAUCGCCACUUAAUUUUGAAUAGGCAUUAAGAAACCUUUAUAAAGUACUUAGAUGAUUCAAAACAAGAAAAUCGUUUAAGUUAGAGAUUCUGACUAAGCAGUUCCUAUUAACGUUUUAGGAAGAUGUUAGGCACCUAAAAUGUCCACUAACAUACGGUUAACCGGAUUGUUUUAAAACAUCUUUUGACUAACUUUAAAAAAAGAUUAAUUUGUUGAAAAGUGAUAUAUUUUUAAAAAAAAAGGACUUGUGUAAAAUAAAUUUAGGCGACUUAGUAGAGAUUUUAACUAAGUAUAAACAAAACUAAUAAGAAAAUAAACACAUAAAAGGGGAAAGGGAGGAGAAAGUAAAAGAUUUAGGUCAUUGGGCUCAAAUCAACGAAACCUGUCCUAGUCUAACUUGGCUUUCAACCCAUUUCACCUGUCCAAAUCUAGUUUUCGGGCCUUUUUGGCCCAAAAUCCACUCCGACUGUAUUAAAUUUACAACUUUGACUUCGAGACCCAAAUGAAUAAAUAAUAGAAUGAAGAAAUAAAUAAAUAAUAAUAAAAAGACAACAACAGAUGAAUAAAUGAAUAUAAGAAAUGAGACUUUCGAGUCUCUUUACCACUUCAAGGAUGAAACUUCAGCCCAUUCUUCUUCUUUCGACUCCUUAUAUCCACAAUUCAUGAGAUUGUCUUUUAAUCUUUGAGAAUGACUCAGGAGCAAUGGGCCUCAGUGGCCUAUAUAGAUAAUGCAAAUAUGGGGAAAAAGUCCAUUUAGGACCCAAAGACAUUCACAUGCAAGGAAAAGAAAAUAAAGAAAUUAAUGUAGGCUCCAAAUGUUAACAUCUAAAAAAAAAGACAUGGAAAGAGAAUAUUUCUUUUAUUUGCUUUUAACUGAAACUUAUUCAAGGAGACUAAUUAAUGCAUGCAAAUGUAUUCAAGAGAAACCAACUACUAUUCGAAUAUUUGAUGCUCCUAUUAUUGGAUAAUUUAACAGAAGGCUAAAAAUCUAAAUGCCAACAGUUGAAAAAUUGGUAAAAUAACAUUUUCACAACUAUGUUAUGUCUUCAUGAGGAUUCCAAAUAGAAAGUUUACCGAGUCUAGGAAUAAAAAGGGGGAAAGAUACGAAUAUAUACUUUCAGCGAACCAAUUUACCAACAUGAUUAUAGUAUUACAUGCUUACAUAUAUAGAACGUAUAUUUAGUAUAAAACAGUAUGCAUUGUACAUAUUUUGUAAGCCCAAAAAGUUACAGGUCCUCAUUUUGACAAUAAGUUCACACUGGUUGAUGGCUAGAUUUUCUUUCAUUUUCAAAUAAACUAGUUCACUCAUCCAGUAAGUUAAGUAAGCAAAAAAUGAUUAGGUCAUGUAGAUACUAUGUUUUAUUUAGGAAUAUUAUCCUGAAAAAUAUAUUUCAAUAUAAGUUAUUACAAUUUUCCAAAUGGAAUUGAAUUCCAAAAUUUAGAAUUAUCCACCAAGGAAACAAAUAUUUCAAACAUUCUUUAUCAACGUAAUCAAUAAAUUAAAAAAAUACAACUUAUCGUCAACAUUCAAAACGACUAAUCUGCUAAUUCAUUAAACAAGCUAAAAUAUCCCUCUUAUGCAGAAUGCCUUAUGAAACCAUUAAGAAUUUUAGGCUAUAACCUUACCCUUAUCUUCCCUUCGACCGACUCAAAAUGAAUUUUCAAGAAUCAAAAUAAAGAUCUUUGAGGACUCAUGAGACUAUCGAUCUCAUCAUGGACAUUCACGCAUUAUUUCCACCGACUUUUAAAGGUCAAGAGGAUUUAAGGAGCAGCCCGCCUCAGAUCAAUAUAGUCAAUUAAACCGGUAUUAAUAACUUCGCACUAAGCGUGAGGUUAAGAGAAAACAAGGAACACAAAUUAGAAGAGAAUGACACGCUAGAACAUUGAGACUAGAUAGGAAUAUUCAGCUAGAAUAUGGCAAAUCAGUCCAUGACAAAUGAAAUACAAAAUUCCACUAUUUGUGGCAUCCAACAACUACACAGCAGUUGGAAACUAGAAAGCAGAUAACAGAAUCAGAAGAUAUCAAAGUUGACAACUUUAAGGUUGAAAACAACUAAGUACCCACCUCAUGCACUUUAUAAGAUCAAUCACAACAUGCAUUAAGAGAAAAAUAUCAGUUAGAGUUGCACACAAUCGAGAUACGAACAUACUAUAUCAGAUUUAAUAGUCCAAGAGCUAUAUGCAGCCGCACAAAGCAUGGAUUACUCUUCACUUCCUCGAAUACAUUAUAUGAUUCACAAAUUGAUAGUGAAACACUUAAGUAACAAAUUAACGUCUCAUCGCAUAAGCUCAUACAAGAAAACAUAUAGCGCAGUGUGUCUUAAUAUACCCAAUAUGUUGUUUAAACUGUCAUAAGGAUUACCCUAUCCUUCAGAAAUAGGAAAACUUGUGUGAAAUUAAGAAGUAUUUACAGGCAAGAAGUAACCAUCUUUUAAUUAUCUAGAAUAAAAUACAAGCGACAAGGAUAUGCAGAAAUGUCUAAGAACUAAAAAAAACAUCUUUUAGUUUAUCCGAAUACAGAAAGGAAUAAAUUUUCAGGUAUUGGAGCAGUGCAUAAAUCAUAGCAUAUAGUCACCUAAAGAUUCAAACAUAAAGCAGCUUAAAGAAAUGUCCGCAUUUAUUCCAAACAGAACUACGAACAUUAAAGCAUGAAUCAUACCAAUAUUUACAACAACAUACUACAACAUAUCCCCCUCAGGCCGAUAAAUAAUAAAGCAAAGCAACUCUUUUAAUCUUCAUCAAAACCAAAUUGAAAACUAGACAGUAUUCACGUUAUUGGUUCAUGCUAAAGAAUUGCAGAUAACCAGCAUCACCAUCGAUCAUGAGACAUUAAUCAAUGUAGUCGAUAGCGAAACUCACAACGUACAUACUAAUUCAGCAAAAAAAAUAAUUAUAAAUAAUCCUAAGGCCAUCACGGCCAUCUAUAGCAAACAAAUCCCAACCUCAUUCAUGAUUUACUACUAAACAGACAACUAAUUCUAUGGAGAAAGGGGGAUGGAGCAGAAAAUGGUGGAAUUGAAAGGGGUGAGAGUGUGUUUACCUCUUUUGGGGUAGCAAAACAGAAUCUCGAGCUGACGUUUGACUCCACUAUCACCAGAAAUUAGUCCUUCGAGAGUUCCGACCGAAUCAACGACUAAAAAUUUUGAGAAAAAUCUACUGAGUUUUGCCCAAACUCCUUUUUCCCCCUCUUCAGACUCUUUUUUUUUACCCCCUUUGUGCUCUAAAGAGGGCUACUUAUAGAAGAAUGAAAGAAUCCCAUCCCCUUGGAGAUCACCGAUGCAGAAAAAAUUCUAAUAGGGGUAAUUUUGGGAUUUUAAAAUGGAGAUAUUUUGAAAUUUGAAAUUGGAAUCCUUCUACAGCUUGGAUUUUUCAUCCACAACCAGUGUAAAUUUUGGAUUUUUUUUUCAUGAAAUCCAAAAUUGGCCAACAAAUAGAAUUUAAGGGAUGCAAUUUUCCUCACGAACCAAUGAGAAUCGGGCAAGUAUGUACGAUUUCGUACCAUUCAUCCCAAAAUUCUCGGCAUCUAGCCAUUAGGGGCGACACCUAGGUGCUUCUAGAAAAUUCUUGGACUUUCCUCAUACCCAAUAUCGUGUGAUGCAUAAAAAGUGAAAAUGAGCGAUUUGGGAUCAACUUCGGGUUGGGUUUUUAUUUGAAGCUGGUUCGGGUUUCACUGGUUGUUGAUCUGGGUAUGGGAGACGGGUUGUUGAUGGUUUGUCAGUAUGGUUGCUGGUGGAUUCGGGUCGAGUUUGGAUCUUUGGGGUUGUUGAGAUCCUUCAUGCAUUGGUGUUGAUCGAUGUUGAAAUUAUUGGAAUUGUAUACUUGGAGCUGUUGUACUAGUUUGCUGAAGAAGAUAGAAGAGAUAGGUGGGCCGAGUCGGUGGCUUUGGACAGGGCUAAUAUGUAGUUGUAAAAAAUAGGCUUGUAACCUCUUAAUCAUGAACUUGAAACUCUUCACAUUCAUACAUAAGAAUUUACCUGGACAUAAUUUUCAAAACUCUAGGUGUUCUAUCACUUCAAUUUGAAAGAAAGAGAAGGUAAUCCUCGGCAUAAAUUUAGAAAUAUCCCGAAGACAAAGAUGAAACCUGAAUUUCCCAAAAUACUCAUAUGCCUUCUAAAAGGGAUGUGGUUGGAUGAUGGUGGUGAUCAUCCUUUAGUUGAAGUGUUAAAUUUCGUUAGUAAUAAGUAAAACAAGAUGAUAAGGUAGGAAGUAAACACAUAGAUUUGUUUGUUAUCUCAUGCUAAUUGAUCCAUGAAGUAAUGAUGACUCGAGACUUUUAAUGAACAGGAUUUUUCUCAAUGAUAUGGAUAGGUGAAAUUUUUCAGGAAAGUUCAACUCUUUUUCUUCCUUUAAGAAAGUGGAGGACAAUAGAGUUUUUU
RNAcentral lists this long non-coding RNA (59208 nucleotides) under Capsicum annuum. Its description in RNAcentral is "long non-coding RNA (CANN_LNC001230)". The record is from RNAcentral. Lineage: Eukaryota; Viridiplantae; Streptophyta; Magnoliopsida; Solanales; Solanaceae.